Molecule: long non-coding RNA, 44339 nt
Filed under: Gossypium barbadense (sea-island cotton)
Lineage: Eukaryota; Viridiplantae; Streptophyta; Magnoliopsida; Malvales; Malvaceae
Description: long non-coding RNA (GBAR_LNC013916)
Source: RNAcentral
GAUGUUGCAUAUAGAUGCAUGAAGCGCUGUGAUUUCAGUUUAGAUGUAGGUUGUGCAACACUACCACUCACUGCUUGGUACAAGUAUGACAGGCAUCCUCUUACUUUGACUUUUUCUGAUGAUUCUGAGCCUUCUCAACUUUAUUGCGAUCUCUGCGAAAAAGAAAGAGAGCCAAAUAAUUGGUUUUACUACUGUGCUGAUUGUGAUAACUCUCUUCAUCUCUAUUGUGCUGUUGGGGGUCUCACAUAUAUGAAGAUUGGGAACAGAAUCAAAGGUACAGGUCAUCGACAUCCACUCACUGUUGUGAAAAACAUCUGGAAUUGCCCUCCAUGUAAGGUAUGUGGUGAGAUUUGCAAUGGACAGGCCCUAGAAUGUAAAGAAUCUGAAUGCAACUUUACCGUCCAUUGGGAUUGCUGUCGGGUUCUCCAGAGAACCAUUUGAAUGAUAUUCCACUCAAGUUUAAGAAACAGAGAAGGCAGAGAGAUGUGUUGUGUUCUGCGGAAAGGUGUAGCAGAUUUGGUAAAAAUGGGUGAUGGCCUUACUUCUUGUGUUCUGCAUUAUGUUAUGUUUAUGAUAGUUGUUUGAGCAGUAGAAGAUUGUGUUAGAUGAAACAUGAUUUGUAACCACACAACUGUAUCUUUCACUUUUCUAUUUGAUUCUUAUCCUUUCAACUUUUAUCUAAAAUUAGUGAUGAGAAGAAAAUAUUUUUAUUAUCUUUCUAUUCCUCCAUUCAUAAAAAUUGUGAGUGAAUGUUAAGACCAUGAAAUGUAUAAAUAAUUUCUCAAUUUUAUUUAUCUAAAAAUCUUAAAUUUAGCAUUUGAAGAUCGAAUUUGGUAUAUCUUGUUAUUUUUAAAAAGUAGAAAUGUAUGAGAUUUGUGACAUAAAUCAAUCAAGAUUUUGUGACCUUAAAUCAACCUGCCAUAAAAAAAAGUGUACAUAUGUUUUAGCUUUACAAUGUAGGUUCAUUUUAUUUCACUUAAUCAGUAAGCAUUUAUACUUCAUAUUCAAAAUAAUAUUAUUAUGCCUAAAUUCUAGAAAAUAAUUUUUUAUUUAUUUUAGAUCUUAUCCUAAAUUUUUUGAAUUUUCCACCAGAUUUUAUUGUAAUUUCAUUUCAAAGAUAAAUCAACACUUUUCACAACUUAGAAAAGAAUAAAGUCAAUUUAGGCAAAAAAAUCCUUUUUUUUUUCUUUGCCCUCAAAAUAUUAAGAAAAACCCCCUUUCUUGAAAAGAAAGAGAAACCUGUAGAGGGCUGGAGCUAUGCCUGCAAUCAAUGUCGGUUUUUUCUUCACAAGGGAUGUGCUGAGUUAGAGUUAUCCCCCAAGAUUCAGCAUCCCUUCCACCCCUUCCACCCUCUCACUCGUCUUCCAAAAUCACCUUAUUCUGGGGGCCUAACCGCGUGCAGUUUGUGUGGUAAGAAUUUUGAGGGAUUUGUUUAUAAUUGUUUUGAUUGUGAGUUCGAUCUGCACAUCACUUGUGCUUUGCUUCAAUCAUCCAUUGCUGCAAAUUUUCCUAAUUCUUUGCACCCCCAUCCUUUACACUUCAUUCAAAAUCAUAACAAGCAAGUCGAGCCUGAUUGCCCGGGGUGUCAGAAACCAAUAUCUGGUCCAUUUUACCACUGUUCAGAUUGCACUUAUCCUAAAUUGUUUAACCUUCGUAAGGAAUGUGCUGAGCUACCCCUUGAGAUUAAUCACCCCUGUAACCGUAAGCAUCCUCUUACUCUCUUGUCACAACCGCCUACUCAUCCCCAGAGAUGUAGUUGCUCUUUGUGCAGAAUCCAAUGGAAGGGGUUUGUUUAUUCCUGCUCUGUAUGCAACUUUGAUCUUUCACUUGAUGAUUUGCUUUUUUCACCACCAACAAUCACAGUUGCAAGUCAUGAACACGCGUGGAUGCUUGUUUCUAGAAAAAUGUCGUUUGUUUGUGAUUUUUGUGGCACUGACGGAGAUCACUCCCCCUAUUUGUACCCUAAAGUUAAACUUUGCCUUCACACUACCCAGUUCAAUCUAGGCUUAAUAUAAAAAUUGCCCCCUAAAUUAUAUUCAUUUUCUCAGAUGGGUAUCUAAACCUUUUUUUUGUCAAAUUGAGUACUUACAGUAAUUUUUUCCCGCAUUGGUACGCUGUUAGUUCUCCCUUAGUCAACCAUUAGUCAACAUUAAUGAUGAUGUGGCCCAAUAAGUAAUAAGCACGUGGAAAAAAAAGCCACAUAAGUAAACCAUCUCAUUCUUUGUAUAAAAAAAGUCACAUAAGUAAAUCAUCUCAUAAUUAAAAAUAAUAUUAAGAAAUAUUUUCACACCCUGUUCCUCUCCCACGGUCCCCCACCAUCCUCACCCAACCCUUUCCCUCUGCUAACCCUUCAAUUAUAUUUUCAUAAAAAAAAAUUUCCUCCUUUCUUUCUUUAACAUUGAUUCUUUGUCUCACAAUUCCCUUUAAAUCCAUCCACCACAUGUUUGGGAAAAUGACCCUCAAAAAAAUAAAUUUUGAGCCUGAAAUUGGUGUUUUCCUUUUCAUGUAUUGGAUUUGCUUUCUUAUAGUAGGAUUGUAAGUUUGUGGGUGAAGGUUUUGUAUUUGUUAGUUUGAUUUAGUGGACUCUUAAUUUUAUUUAUGGCCUUCUUCCAAUUCAGAAUUUUAUUUGUACUCUGAAACUCUAAAGUGCAAAUAACCAAAUUAAGUAUCUUUAAUGUACCAAUUGCCUUGUGUCUUUUACAGAAAAAUAAUUUUUUUUAUUUUUUUUAAUUUUGCCACAUGUCUAUUGGUGAUUGAGCCACAUCAUCAUUGACCAAGGUUGAUUAACGGCUGACUAACGAAGGACUAACGAGGUACAAAUGUAAGAAAAAAUAUAGUUUAGAUACUCAAAUUGAUCAAAAAAAAUGUUUGGGUACUUAUUUAAGCAAAUGAGUAUAUUUUAAAGGACAAUUUUAAUAUUAAGCCUUCAACCUAUAAAUAGAUUUAUUUAUAAUUAAUUUAAUUUAAUAUGAUCUGAUUCAAAUUAAUUGUUAAACACAUUUAAUGACUUAAAUUUUAGUCACAAAUGACAAACUUCUACAACAUAGUUUUUUAGUUCAAAUUGGUAUUUUCAAAUAACUAAGUAUUAAUUUAGAUAAAAAAAUCAAAUUCAGGUAUUAAUUUAAAUCAAGAAGCUAAGCUUAGGUACUUAGUUGGACCAAAAUACCAAAUGGAACUUUGAAUUCAUGUUCAAGUACCUAAUUGAAAAAAAAAAACCUUAGGUAUCAAUUUGAACUCUGAAGCUAAGUUCAAGUACCAAAAUGUAUAUUUCCCUUACUUUUCCAAUAACCAUUGAAUGCUCUCAUUUUUAUCUACCACAUCGGAGCAAACACUAAUUAUUGACAGAAAAUAACAAUUCUAGUGAUUAUGUUGAAAGUAAAACUUAAUUUUCUGUCACCGACAAUCACAAUCCUUUUUGCAUUAUUUCUCAAUUUUUAGUUCAUAAACGAUCAAGAAUACCUUUUUUUUUACAGUGAUUAUGUUGAGAUUUCCUAUAAAAUUCUCUUUUUAUUUGCAAGGAAUCUACAACUCUAGUGUGAAUCAGGGAAGCAUGCAGGCGUGGGAAGCUAUCAGCUCUGAUAAACUCAACUCCCACCGCCUCUUCCAUAGGAUCCAACAUAUGAAUAACUAUUCCUAAAACGAGGUCAGCCAUGCCAAUUCCAUUAAAAAGAGGCCUAAGCUAAGCUACCAAGCAAAGAGGAAGAAGAAGAGAUGGUUUCAGGGUGAGGCAUGUGCUCCAAAAGGGUAGCGGUGGAUGCAAGGCAUCACAUGCUGGGAAGGUUGGCUUCCAUAUUGGCCAAAGAGUUGCUGAAUGGUCAAAAAGUAGUGGUGGUGAGAUGUAAAGAGAUAUGCAUGUGGGGUGGAUUGGUUAGCCAGAAGAUGAAUCUCAUGAGGUUUCUUAGGAAGCGUAUGAACACUAAGCCUUCUCAUGGUCUCAUCCAGUUUCCUGCUCCUCUAACAUCCUCUGGCGUACCAUUCGUGGGUGUGUUUUUCUUUUCGAGAGAUUUUUUUUCCCUUUUAGUGUGUUUUCAUAGUUCUUUAUUUGGUCUGUGAAUGAAAAGGAUGGACAUUUCUGGGUUUUUGAUGCUUGGUAAUUUAGGAAGCCUUUAUUAUGAACUUUUUGAGAGAUUUUUUUCCAUUUAUUUGCAGUUCUAUGAUUUGGAUAUUGGAAUAAAUAUUGCAAAAGAACCAAAGGAAUCUGUGUGUUUAGUUAUGUUUGAUAUCAAAAUUAAUAAUGAGAGCUUGCUAUUGAUUUUUCUUAUUAGAGAUCUGUGUGUUUUGUUAUAGUUGGUUAUUGGUAAAAUGUAGGGACGAAGUGAAAGAGAGUAGAAUGAGUGUGCUUGAGGUUAUUAUUGUUGGAUUGAGAGAAAACUAAUAGCUGACAAGGUCUAUGAAUCUUAUGGUGCAAAGGCAAUGCGUUUGGCUUCAGCAUAUAUGAAGUGAAGUACAUAACUGGGCUUCAUUUUGACUUUCCUUAUGGUAAUUGAUAUUUGCUUUGAUUGCAGGAUGAUUCCUCGCAAAGACUAAGCAUGGAGUGGCAGCUUUCGUUUGAAAUUGAAGGCUUACGAUGGGAAUCCUGCACCAUAUGAUAAGACUAAGAGAAUGGUUAUUCCUGAUGCUCUCAAGUUUUGUAGUAGUUGGUUUCUUUCGUGAAAUUUAGAAUUUGGUUUUCUUAUUUGCUUCUGUGGAUAGUUAGUCAUGCUCAAUGUUUUUAUUGUUCUUUCGUUUUUUUUAAAUUAGGGUUCUGAGGUUUCAGAAAGGACACAAAUUGGUGGAGAAAAUAGCAUUACCCGGGAGUAAAUAUGAAAUAUAACAUUGAACGCUUUUAUGUAGGUUAUCCAACAUGCUGAAUGCUUAGGACUUGGUUUGGAGCUUUAGGAACUACUGAUGAAGAAGUUUAUGAAGACAUCAAAAGAGUCAUUUCAUUGGUUUGGCAGUUCUAGGACUGGGUUGUCCUUUACUCAGAGCCAGAGCAGGUAGGUUCUGUUUUUACUCGGCUGUUUGUGAUUGAUGUUUGUCGCACAUUUUCCCCUCUCUUUUUGUAACUGUAUUGUAGCUUUGGGUCAGUGGUUGUGCUAUGAAUUUAGUAAUAUCAAACUGUUGUGUCUGGUCAACAUUGCAGACUCCUCGAAUUGUCUCCUUACCGUCUGAGUCUUACAACCUACCAAGACAACACCGAACCAAACCUUCCGCAUAUAGAAGAAAAACAUUCCUUGCAAUAAAAUUAAAACUGAUACAAAAACCACAACAUCCAUAGGGAGGCAUCAAAAAGAUAACCACAAUGACACUUGCGAACACCACAGCUCAUGACACAAAUCGAAAAAGAGAUCAACUUCAAGACAUCAUCUCAUGUUGUCAAUUUGUGAGCAUCCCUUAGAAAUUAAAUAAACACCAUAAAAGAAGCAUCCAACAAAUUGGCAGCAAUGCAGUAACUGCAAACCUAUUGCCUCCGUGACUCUUUAAUUACAACCCCAAAUAUCAUAUGCCAAAACAAGGAGCAACAUCAAAACCUUCAUAAUUAAACACUCUUGAAAGUUGCCUACACACCCUCUUUACUCAUCCUUAGGUUAAAACAUGUUCUUAUCACCCCUAAACACCACCAGUCAAAAUCAUAGCUUACUCGAGUUGAAAACACCUUUUAGUUGAAGAGAAGACAAUCGAAAUCAUCCUUAACCCACCAACCCUUAUCCAACAUCGAUCAAGAGGACAUCAAACAUGAUUCCAUAAUAAGCUUGUUAAAAUCCCUCAAGAAAGGAAAGCCGGAUCAGCAGCAUUCGACAGUGUUCCUCAUCAGUUAUGGCCGUCGAUGAUGAACCUUAACCCCCUCAGCCUUUCGAGUUCACAUCCUGAUUUCGCUUGGAUUUCGUUUCGAUGAUAGUUUUUAGAGAAGACUUGUGUUCGGUGACAUUCUUUAGUUCUGGAGUUCUCUACUAAUCAAUUACAUUCGUUCUAAUGUUCUUUCUAGGAAAAUCUUGUCAUAUACAUGCUCAACCAUUAGGGAAUUUAACUUUGUUGCCUAAUUUCUUUUUGUUGAUGUUCUCAAUUCUUUUCAUAUUUUUUAAAAAUCAUAUAUAUAUAUAUAGGUUAUAACAAUGUGGCAUAGCUUUUGAAUCUUUAUUUGUCACUAUAAUAAUAUUUCACAUGUUGAUUAUAUUUAAAAAAUUAAUUCAAGAUAAAUUCCUUAUAAAUAUUGUCAUGUAAUUGUUGAUGCUCUAAAUGUUGAUAUGCAUGAAUAUAUUAAAUAUGUACUAAAAAUAAAAAAUUAAAAUUAAUUAUAAGAAAUGUAAACUAUAAAGAAAAUUGAAGCAAAUAUAUACUAAAAUUUUCAACUUAAAAUAUAUAUUUAAAACUUAAAGUAUAUUAUUAAAGACGCAUUUUAAUAAAGAUUGAUUAAAGUAAAUAUAUUUAAAAUUCUUAAUUAAUUUAAACAAAACUCAAUUAUAAAAAAAAUUAUUAUUUUCUUUUUCAAACUCUAACAAAUUUAUGGGAAAAUUGAAUGUUCCAUAUUCUUAUCCUUAGAAUGGAAAUGCUGGGCUAUUAUGGGAAAAGAAAUAUUGACAAAUAGUCUCACAAGUAUACGACGAAAAUGAUUCUUCUCUUUAAGGACAAAAGCAAGACCUAAGAAAGUAUACCACAAAGGGUAGAGUAAAGUGAAGCAAACUCAAGGGUUUUCUUGUAAUGGGAAUGAGUGAGUGUGAGAGUAGGACAGAGGGGGAGACCAUGGAACUUCAACAUUUCAGUCAUCCACAUCCUUUGGUCUUCUUCAAAUGUCAGACUGUUGCAAGCGAAGAAGUAGACCCAGAAGCAGCUCUUUGCCUUGGGUGUGAGAAACCUGUAGAGGGCUGGAGCUAUGGUUGCAAUCAAUGUGAGUUUUAUCUUCACAAGGGAUGUGCUGAGUUAGAGUUAGCCCCCAAGAUUCAGCAUCCCUUCCACCCCAAACACCCUCUCACUCUUCUGCCAAAUUCAGAUCGUUAUAUGUCAGGAAUUUGCGAUUUGUGUGGUAAGAAAUUUGGAGGAUUUGUUUAUAAUUGUAGUGAUUGUAGUUUCGAUCUGCACAUCAAUUGUGCUUUGCUUCAAUCAUCCAUUGCUGCAAAUUUUCCUAAUUCUUUGCACCCCCAUCCUUUGUUAUUCAUUCAAAAUCAUAACAACGAAAUCGAGCCUCAUUGCUCCGGAUGUCAGAAACCAAUAUCUGGUCCAAUUUACCACUGCUCAGAUUGCACAUAUACUAUUUUUAACCUUCAUAAGGAAUGUGCUGAACUACCCCUUGAGAUUAAUCACCCCUAUGACCGUAAGCAUCCUCUUACUCUCUUGCCACAACCGCCUACUCAUCCCCAGAAAUGUAGUUGCUAUUUGUGCAGAAUCCAAUGGAAGGGGUUUGUUUAUUCCUGCUCUUUAUGCAACUUUGAUCUUUCACUUGAUGAUUUUCUUUUUUCACCACCAACAAUCACAGUUGCAAGUCAUGAACACCCGUGGAUGCUUAUAUCUAGAAAAAUGUCGUUUGUUUGUGAUUUUUGUGGCACUGACGGAGAUCACUCCCCUUAUCACUGUGAUACCUGUGUGCUUUUUGUCCACAAGAAUUGCAUUUCAUUGCCACGCCACAUCAUGAUAACACGACAUAGUCACAGGAUUUCUCUUUCCUAUUCUCUUCGACAAAUUCAAGUUGAGGAUUGGAUGUGAAAAAUUUGUUACGAGGAAGUUGAUAUAAGGUAUGGCAGUUACCGUUGUCCUGCUUCUCGUUGCCGUUAUAUUGCUCAUGUACGUUGUGCAACUGAUAGAGAAAUUUGGGGUGGAACAAUUAUGCCGGAAGGCUAUGAUGAGAGGUCUGAGGAAGUGGUGGAUGAACCUUCGAAUUUGAUUACUGAUGUUGUUGAACAAAUUCGUAUUGGAGAGCUAAUGGUAGCAAGUGAGAUCAAGCAUUCCUAUCAUGAUUAUAAUUUAAGACUCACUUUUAGUGGGAAGACCAAAGAUGAUGAUAGUGAGUGCAAUGGGUGCACCAACUCCUUUUUAUAGUUGUGAGCAAUGCAAGUUCUUUCUCCACAGAGAUUGCGCUGAAUUGCCUAAAGAAAUGCCACACCCAUUUCACAUGCAUUUGCUUACUCCCUCAAACUCACACAUUAAUGGAUAUGGUUAUUCAUGUUGCCAUGCUUGCUUUCGUGCGUAUCAAGGAUUUAGCUACAGAUGCUACAAAGGUUGCAGCUUCGAAAUUGACGCGUAAUGUAUGUUAUUAUCGGACACCUUGAAGCACGCAAGUCAUAAGCAUUCACUAUUUUUUGUCCACAACAACGAGGGAUCGAGUUGCAGUGCUUGUUUCAAAAGACAACGCUGGUGGAAUGGUGCAUAUAGAUGCAUGAGGCGCUGUGAUUUCAGUUUAGAUGUAGGUUGUGCAACACUACCACUCACUGCUUGGUACAAGUAUGACAGGCAUGCUCUUACUUUGACUUUUUCUGAUGAUUCUGAGGCUUCUCAACUUUACUGUGAUUUCUGCGAGAAAGAAAGAGAGCCAAAUAGUUGGUUUUAUUACUGUGCUGAGUGUGAUAACUCUCUUCAUCUCAAUUGUGCUAUUGGGGAUGACCCAUAUAUGAAGCUUGGGAACAAAUUGGAAGAUCCUGGGCAUAAACAUUCAUUCACUGUUGUGAAAAACAUCUGGAAUUGCCCUCCAUGUAAGGUAUGUGGUGAGGUUUGCAAUAGGCAGGCCUUAGAAUGUAAAGAAUCUGAAUGCAAUUUUACCGUCCACUGGAAUUGCCGUUGGAGACUCCUGAGAAUCAUUUGAAUGAUAUUCCACUCAAGUUUAAGAAACAGAGAAGGCACAAUAUGAGAGAUGUGUGGUGUUGUGUGGAAGGGUGUAGCAGAUUUGGUAAAAAUGGGUGAUGACCUUAGUUGUUGUAAUCUGCAUUAUGUGAUGUUUAUGGUUGUUGUUUGAGGAGUAGAAGGUCGUGUUAGAUGAAACAUGAUUUGUAACCACACAUCUGUAUCUUUCACUUUUCUAUUUGCUUCUUAUGCAUUCAACUUUUAUCUAAAAUUAGUGAUGAGAAGGAAGAAAUGGUUUUUAGGUUGUCAUAAUAAAAUAUUUUUAAUAAUAGAAGUAUGAAAAUACUAAAAUAAUGUUGAGUUUGGAAAUUUAAAUACAAAAUCAUUCUUCCCUUUAUAACUGCAUACAAAAUUGUGUGUGAUUUUUAAGCCCAAAAUAUAAGCGGAUUUGGUAUAUCUUAUUAUUUUUGCGCAAAACUGUAUAUAUGUUUUAGCUUUACAAUUUAAGUUAAUUAAGUCAACUUAAUUAAUUUUAUUUCUACUCCAUUUUCUUUAUUUUAGAUCUUUUUCUAAAAUUUGGAAUUCAGCCUUGCAAAUUUGAUUCUUACAUCAGAUUUUACUGUUCACAAUUUAGAAAAGACUAAAUUCAAUUUAGACAAAAUGUCUUUUUUUUUCGUUGCCCUCAAAAUAUUAAAAAUAAAAAAUCUUCAACUCAUGAAUAGGAGUAUAAUGUGCUUCCACGCACUUGAAUCCACAUCCUCCUGCAUUAACAACAAUACUCAUGCUAAUGAACUAAAACUCAAUCGGCUACUUUCUAAUUUUCAAAAUAUUCAAAAUUAUUUUCUUAAAUAAUUUAAUAUUAAGCUAUCAAUUUUAAAAUAUUAAUAUAUUAAACUUAAAAAACUCUAAAUGGAACUUCGAUCUCUUGAAUCUACCUAAACUCAAAUAAGAGAAAAUAAUUUUGAUACCUAAACUUUAAUUCUAUUUAUUAUUUCCAUAUAUCCUUCUAAUGGAGUUAAAAUCUUGCCUCACUUUCAAUGCAACCAAUUGUGGGACUAUUAGUUAGAAAAGUUUUAAUCAAAGUCAAGGGAUUUGAAGAUAAUUAUACCAAAAUUUAUUUUAAACCCCUAAAUGAAAAAUAGUAAGACCAACCCAAGCCCGGCACAAUUUAGCCCAUCAACGCAUCUACCCUAAACUUAAACUUUGCCCUCACGCUACCCAAUUCAAUCUAGGCUUAAUAUAAAAAUUGCCCCCUAAAUUAUAUUCAUUUUUUCAGAUAGGUAUAUAGUUUUUUUUUUCCGCAUUGGUACCCUGUUAGUUCUCCCUUAGUCAGCCAUUAGUCAACAUUGUUCAAUGUUUAAUGAUGAUGUGGCCCAAUCACUAAUGAACACGUGGCCAAAAAAGCCACAUAUAUAAACCAUCUCAUUCUUUGUAUAAAAUAAUUCCAAAAAAUAAAAAAAGUUAGAAAAAUUAAAAUUAUUUUUUUAUUUUAUAUUAAUAUUAAUUAAAAAUAAUAUUAAGAAAUAUUUUCACACCCUGUCCCUCUCCCACCGUCCCCCACCAUCCUCACCCAACCCUCUCCCUCUGCUAAUCCUUCAAUUAUAUUUUUAUAAAUAAAAAAUUCCCUCCUUUCUUUCUUCAACAUUGAUUCUUCGUCUCACAAUUCCCUUCAAAUCUAUCCACCACAUGUUUGGGAAAAUGACCCUCAAAAAAAAUAAAUUUUGAGCCUCAAAUUGGUGUUUUCCUUCAUCUAUUGGAUUGCUUUCUUAUAAUAGGAUUAUAAGUUUGUGGGUGAAGGUUUUGUAUUUGUUAGUUUGGUUUAGUGGACUCUUAAUUUUAUUUAUGGCCUUCUUCCAAUCUAGAAUUUUGUUUGUACUCUGAAACUCUAAAGUGUAAAUAGCCAAAUUAAGUAUCUUUAAUGUACCAAUUGGUUUGUGUCUUUUACAGAAAAAUAAUUUUUCUAAUUUCUUUAUUUUGCCACAUGUCUAUUGGUGAUUGAGCCACAUCAUCAUUGACCAAGGUUGAUUAACGGCUGACUAAUGAAGGACUAACGAGGUACAUAUGUAAGAAAAAAUAUAGUUUAGAUACUCAAAUUGAUCAAAAAAGUGUUUAGGUAGUUAUUUAAGCAAAUGAGUGUAUUUUAAAGGACAAUUUUAAUAUUAAGCCUUCAACCUAUAAAUAGAUUUAUUUAUAAUUAAUUUAAUUUAAUUUAAUAUGAUCUGAUUUAAAUUAAUUGUUAAACACGUUUAAUGACUUAAAUUUUAGUCACAAAUGACAAACUUCUAAAACAUGAUUUUUUAGUUCAAAUUGGUACUUUCAAGUAACUAAGUAUUAAUUUAGAUAAAAAAAUCAAAUUCAGGUAGUAAUUUAAAUCAAGAAGCAAAGUUUAGGUAUUUAAUUGGACCAAAAUACCAAAUGUAACUUUGAAGUCAUGUUCAAGUACCUAAUUAGAAAAAAAAACCUUAGGUAUCAAUUUGAACUCUGAAGCUAAGUUCAAGUACCAAAAUGUAUAUUUCCCUUACUUUUCCAAUAACCAUUGAAUGCUCUCAUUUUCAUCCACCAGAUCGGAGCAAACAUUAAUUAUUGACAGAAAAUAAUAAUUCUAGUGAUUAUGUUGAAAGUAAACCUUAAUUUUCUGUCACCGACAAUCACAGUCCUUUUUGCAUUAUUUCUCAAUUUUUAGUUCAUCAACGAUCAAGAAUACUUUUUUCUUUUUUACAGUGAUUAUGUUGAGAUUUCCUAUAAAAUUCUCUUUUUAUUUGCAAGGAAUCUACAACUCUAGUGUGAAUCAGGGACAUUGUCUUUGAUCGCAGGGUGUUCGCUGAAAUGCUUGACACAAGCAUGCAGGCGCGGGAAGCUAUCAGCUUUGAUAAACUUAAAUCCCACCGCAUCUUCCAUAGGCGCCAACAUAUGAAUAACUAUUCCUAAAACGAGGUCAGCCAUGCCAAUUCCAUUAAAAAGAGGCCUAAGCUAAGCUACCAAGCAAAGAGGAAGAAGAAGAGAUGGUUUCAGGGUGAGGCAUGUGCUCCAAAAGGGUAGCGGUGGAUGCAAGGCAUCACAUGCUGGGAAGGUUGGCUUCCAUAUUGGACAAGGAGUUGUUGAAUGGCCAAAAAGUAGUGGUGGUGAGAUGUGAAGAGAUAUGCAUGUGGGGUGGAUUGGUUAGCCAGAAGAUGAAUCUCAUGAGGUUUCUUAGGGAGCGUAUGAACACUGAUCUUGCGUACCAUUCGCGGGUGUGUUUUUCUUUUCGAGAGUCUUUUUUCCCUUUUAGUGUGUUUUCAUAGUUCUUUAUUUGGUCUGUGAAUGAAAAGGAUGGAAAUUUCUGGGUUUUUGAUGCUUGGUAAUUUAGGAAGCCUUUAUUAUAAACUUUUUGAGAGAUUUUUUUCUAUUUAUUUGAAGUUCUAUGAUUUGGAUAUUGGAAUAUAUAUUGCAAAAGAACCAAUGGAAUCUGCGUGUUUAGUUGUGUUUGAUAUCAAAAUUAAUAAUGAGAGUUUGCUAUUGAUUUUUCUUGUUAGAGAUCUGUGUGUUUUGUUAUAUUUGGUUAUUGGUAAAAUGUAGGGACGAAGUGAAAGAGAGUAGAAUGAGUGUGCUUGAGGUUAUUAUUGUUGGAUUGAGAGAAAACUAAUAGCUGAGAAAGUCUAUGAAUUUUAUGGUGCAAAGGCAAUGCUUUUGGCUUCAGCAUAUAUGAAGUGAAGUAUAUAACUGGCUUCAUUUGGACUUUCCUUAUGGUAAUUGAUAUUUGCUUUGAUUGCAGGAUGAUUCCUCGCAAAGACUAAGCACGGAGUGGCAGCUUUCGCUGGUGUGAAUUGAAGGCGUAUGAGGGGAUUCUUGCACCAUAUGAUAAGACUAAGAGAAUGGUUAUUCCUGAUGCUCUCAAGUUUUGCAGUAGUUGGUUUCUUUUGAGGAAUUUAGAAUUUCGUUUUCUUACUUGCUUCUGUGGAUAGUUAGUCAUGCUCAAUGUUUUUUAAAUUGGUGGAGAAAAUAGCAUUACCCUGGAGUAAAUAUGAAAUAUAACAUUGAACGCUUUUAUGUAGGUUAUCCAACAUUGAAUGCUUAGGACUUGGUUUGGAGCUUCAGGAACUACUGAUGAAGAAGUUUAUGAAGACAUCAAAAGAGUCAUUUCAUUGGUUUGGCAGUUCUAGGACUUGGUUGUCCUUUACUCAGAGCCAGAGCAGGUAGGUUCUGUUUUUACUUGGCUGUUUGUGAUUGAUGUUUGUUGCACCUUUUCCCCUCUCUUUUGUAACUGUAUUGUAGCUUUGGGUCAGUGGUUGGGCUAUGAAUUUAUGAAUAUCAAACUGUUGUGUCUGGUCAACAUUGCAGACUCCUCGAAUUGUCUCCUUACCGUCUGAGUCUUACAACCUACCAAGACAACACCGAACCAAACCUUCCGCAUACAGAAGAAAAACAUUCCUUGCAAUAAAAUUAAAAUUGAUACAAAAACUACAACAUCCAUAGGGAAGCAUCAAAACACUUCAAAAAGAUAACCACAAUGACACUUGCGUACACCACAGCUCAUAACACAAAUCGAAAAAGAGAUCAACUUCAAGACAUCAUCUCAUGUUAUCAAUUUGUGAGCAUCCUUUAGAAAUUAAAUAAACACCAUAAAAGAAGCAUCCAACAAAUUGGCAGCAAUGCAGUAACUGCAAACCUAUUGCCUCCGUGACUCUUUAAUUACAACCCCAAAUAUCAUAUGCCAAAACAAGGAGCAACAUCAAAAUCUUCAUAAUUAAACACUCUUGAAAGUUGCCUACACACCCUCUUUACUCAUCCUUAGGUUAAAACAUGUUCUUAUCACCCCUAAACACCACCAGUCAAAAUCAUAUCUUACUCGAGUUGAAAACACCUCCUAGUUGAAGAGAAGACAAUCGAAAUCAUCCUUAACCCACCAACCCUUAUCCAACAUCGAUCAAGAGGACACUAAACAUGAUUCCAUAAUAAGCUUGUUAAAAUCCCUCAAGAAAGGAAAGCCGGAUCAGCAGCAUUCAACAGUGUUCCUCAUCAGUUAUGGCCGUCGAUGAUGAACCUCAGCCCCCUCAGCCUUACGAGUUCACAUCCUGAUUUCGCUUGGAUUUCGUUUCGAUGAUAGUUUUUAGAGACGAUUUGUGUUCAGUCACAUUCUUUAGUUCUGGAGUUCUCUACUAAAUCAGUUACAUUCUUUCUAAUGUUCUUUCUAGGAAAAUCUUGUCAUAUACAUGCUCAACCAUUAGGGAAUUUGACUUUGUUGCCUAAUUUCUUUUUGUUGAUGUUCUCAAUUCUUUUCAUAUUUUUUUAAAAUCAUAUAUAUAUAGGUUACAACAAUGUGGCAUAGCUUUUAAAUCAUUAUUUGUCACGAUAAUAAUAUUUCGCAUGUUGAUUAUAUUUAAAAAAUUAAUUCAAGAUAAAUUCCUUAUAAAUAUUGUCAUGUAAUUGUUGAUGCUCUAAAUGUUGAUAUGCAUGAAUAUAUUAAAUAUGCACUAAAAAUGUAAAAUUAAAAUUAAUUAUAAGAAAUAUAAACUAUAAAGCAAAUUGAAGCAAAUAUAUAGUAAAAUUUUCAACUUAAAAUAUAUAUUUAAAACUUAAAGUAUAUUAUUAAAGACGCAUUUUAAUAAAGAUUGAUUAAAGUAAAUAUAUUUCAAAUUUUUAAUUAAUUUAAACAAAAUCAAUUAUAAAAAAAUUAUUAUUUUCUUUUUCAAACCCUAACAAAUUUAUGGGAAAAUUGAAUGUUCCAUAUUCGUAUCCUUAGAAAGGAAAUGCUGGGGUAUUAUGGGAAAAGAAAUAUUGACAAAUAGUCUCACAAGUCAAGGACGAAAAUGAUUCUUCUCUUUAAGGACAAAAGCAAGACCUAAGAAAGUAUACCAUAAAGCGUGGAGUAAAGUGAAGCAAACUCGAGGGUUUUCUUGUAAUGGAUGUGAGUGAGUGUGAGAGUAGGACAGAGGGGGAAACCGUGGAACUUCAACAUUUCAGUCAUCCACAUCCUUUGGUCUCCUUCAAAUAUCAGACUGUUGCACGCGAAGAAGUAGACCCAGAAGCAGCUCUUUGCCUUGGGUGUGAGAAACCUGUAGAGGGCUGGAGCUAUGGCUGCAAUCAAUGUGAGUUUUAUCUUCACAAGGGAUGUGCUGAGUUAGACUUAGCCCCCAAGAUUCAGCAUCCCUUCCACCCCGAACACCCUCUCACUCUUCUGCCAAAAUCACCUUAUUCUGGGGGCUUAACCGCGUGCAGUUUUUGUGGUAAGAAUUUUGAGGGAUUUGUUUAUAAUUGUUUUGAUUGUGAGUUCGAUCUGCACAUCAAUUGUGCUUUGCUUCAAUCAUCCAUUGCUACAAAUUUUCCUCAUUCUUUGCACCACCAUCCUUUAGACUUCAUUCAAAACCAUAACGAGGAAGUUGAGCGCGAUUGCUCCGGAUGUCAGAAACCAUUAUCUGGUCCAAUUUACCAUUGUUUAGAUUGUUCUUAUCCUACAUUCUUUACUCUUCAUAAGGAAUGCGUUGAACUACCCCUAGAAAUUAAUCACCCCUGUGACCGUAAGCAUCCCCUUACUCUUUUGCCUCAACGACCUGCACAUCCCGAGAAAUGUAGUUGCUAUUUGUGCAAAAUCCAAUGGAGCGGGUUUGUUUAUUCCUGCUCGCUUUGCAACUUUGAGCUUUCAGUUGAUUAUAUUUUUUCACCACCAACAAUCACCAAUGCAAGCCAUGAACACCCGUGGAUGCUUAUAUCCAAAAAAAUGUCAUUUAUUUGUGAUUUUUGUGGCAUUGUCGGAGAUCACUCUCCCUAUCUUUGUGCUACAUGCAACCUUGCUGUACACAAGAAUUGCAUUUCAUUGCCACGCAACAUCAGGAUAACACGACAUUGUCACGUGAUUUGUUUUUCAUAUUCUUUUCAACAAAAUCAAGUUGAAGAUUGUAUGUGCAGAAUUUGUUUCACGGAAGUUGAUACAAGUUAUGGUAGGUAUUGUUGUUCUGCUUCUGGUUGUGAUUAUAUUGCUCAUGCACAUUGUGCAACCAAUAAAUCAAUUUGGGAUGGAACAAUUAUCAAGGAAGGCUAUGAUGAGAGGCUUGGACCUUCGAAUUUGAUCACUGAUGUUAUUGAACAAAUAAGUAUUGAAGAGAUUAUGGUAGCAAGUAAGAUCAAACAUUCCUACCAUCAUCAUAAUUUAAGACUCACUUUUAGUGGUGAGAUCAAAGAUGAUAGCCAGUGUGAUGGGUGCAUGAGGCCUAUAUCAACUCCUUUUUAUAGUUGUGAGCAAUGCAAGUUCUUUCUCCACAAAGAUUGCGUUGAAUUGCCUAAAGAAAUGCCACACCCAUUUCACAAGCAUUUGCUUACUCUCUCAAACUCCCACGAUGAGAAUGGUUGUUCAUGGUGCACUACUUGCCGUCGUCUGUAUCAAGGAUUUAGGUACAGAUGCUACAAAGGAGAUUGCUACUUCGAAAUUGACAUUCAAUGUAUGUUAUUGUCGGACACCUUGAAGCACCCAAGUCAUGAGCAUUCACUCGUUCUUGUCCACAACGAGGGAACGAGCUGCAGUGCUUGUUUCAAAAAUUUACUAUCAAUGGAUGUUGCAUAUAGAUGCAUGAAGCGCUGUGAUUUUAGUUUAGAUGUAGGUUGUGCAUCACUACCACUCACUGCUUGGUACAAGUAUGACAGGCAUGCUCUUACAUUGACUUUUUCUGAUGAUUCUGAGCCUUCUCAACUUUACUGCGAUCUCUGCGAGAAAGAAAGCCAAAUUGUUGGUUUUACUACUGUGCUGAUUGUGAUAACUCUCUUCAUCUCAAUUGUGCUCUUGGGGAUCUCCCAUAUAUGAAGCUUGGGAACAAAAUCAAAGGUACAGGUCAUCGACAUCCACUCACUGUUGUGAAAAACAUCUGGAAUUGCCCUCCAUGUAAGGUAUGUGGUGAGGUUUGCAAUGGACAGGCCCUAGAAUGUAAAGAAUUUGAAUGCAACUUUACCGUCCAUUCGGUUUGCUGUUGGUUUCUCUAUGAAUCAUCUGAAUGAUAUUCCACUCAGUUUAAGAAACAGAGAAAGCACAAUACGAGAGGUGUGUUGUGUUGUGUGGAAGGGUGUAGCAGAUUUGGUAAAAAUGGGUGAUGGCCUUAGUUGUUGUAUUUUGCAUUAUGUUAUGUUUAUGAUAGUUGUUUGCGCAGUAGAAGGUUGUGAUAGAUGAAACAUGUAUCUGUAUCUUUCACUUUUUUAUUUGAUUCUUAUCCUUUCAACUUUUAUCUAAAAUUAUUGAUGAGAAGAAAAUAUUUUUAUUAUCUUUCUAUUCCUCCAUUCUUAAAAAUUGUGAGUGAAUGUUAAGACCAUGAAAUGUAUAAAUGGUUUCUUAAUUUUAUUUAUUUAUAAAUCUUAAAUUUAAAAUUUGAAGAUCGAAUUUGGUAUAUCUUAUUAUUUUUAAAAAGUGAAAAUAUAUGAAAUUUGUGAAAUAAAUUGAUCAAGAUUUUGUGAUCUUAAAUCAACCAGUCAUAAAAAAAAAUGUACGUCUGUUUUAGUUUUAGAAUUUAGAUUAAUUUUAUAUUACUUAAUCAGUAAACAUUUGUACUCCAUAUUCAAAAUAAUAUUAUUAUGCCUAAAUUCUAGAAAAUAAUUUUUUCUUUAUUUUAGAUUUUAUCCUAAAUUUUUUGAAUCUUCCACCAGAUUUUAUUGUAAUUUCAUUUUAAAGAUAAAUCAACAUUUUUCACAACUUAAAAAGGAAUAAAGUCAAUUUAAGCAAAAAAAUCCUUUUUUUUCCCUUUGCCCUCAAAAUAUCAAGAAAAACCCCCUUUCUUUUAUUUUGGAAAGAAAGAGAAACCUGUAGAGGGCUGGAGCUAUGCCUGCAAUCAAUGUCGGUUUUUUCUUCACAAGGGAUGUGCUGAGUUAGAGUUAUCCCCCAAGAUUCAGCAUCCCUUCCACCCUCUCACUCUUCUGCCAAAAUCACCUUAUUCUGGGGGCAUAACCGCGUGCAGUUUGUUUGGUAAGAAUUUUGAGGGAUUUGUUUAUAAUUGUUUUGAUUGUGAGUUCGAUCUGCACAUCACUUGUGCUUUGCUUCAAUCAUCCAUUGCUGCAAAUUUUCCUAAUUCUUUGCACCCCCAUCCUUUACACUUCAUUCAAAAUCAUAACAAGGAAGUCGAGCCUGAUUGCCCGGGGUGUCGGAAACCAAUAUCUGGUCCAUUUUACCACUGUUCAGAUUGCACUUGUCCUAAAUUGUUUUAACCUUCAUAAGGAAUGUGCUGAACUACCCCUUGAGAUUAAUCACCCCUGUGACCGUAAGCAUCCUCUUACUCUCUUGUCACAACCGCCUACUCAUCCCAAGAAAUGUAGUUGCUAUUUGUGCAGAAUCUAUGCAACUUUGAUCUUUCACUUGAUAGUUUUCUUUUUUCACCACCAAAAAUCACAGUUGCAAGUCAUGAACACGCGUGGAUGCUUGUAUCUAGAAAAAUGUGGUUUGUUUGUGAUUUUUGUGGCACUGACGGAGAUCACUCCCCCUAUUUGUACCCUAAACUUAAACUUUGCCCUCGCACUACCCAGUUCAAUCUAGGCUUAAUAUAAAAAUUGCCCCCUAAAUUAUAUUCAUUUUCUCAGAUAGGUAUCUAAACCAUUUUUUUGUCAAAUUGAGUACUUAAAGUAAUUUUUUCCCGCAUUGGUACGCUGUUGCCUGUUAGUUCUCCCUUAGUCAACCAUUAGUCAACAUUGUUCGAUGUUCAAUGAUGAUGUGGCCCAAUAAGUAAUAAGCACGUGGAAAAAAAGCCACAUAAGUAAACCAUCUCAUUCUUUGUAUAAAAAAAGCCACAUAAGUAAAUCAUCUCAUAAUUAAAAAUAAUAUUAAGAAAUAUUUUCACACCCUGUUACUCUCCCACAGUCCCCUACCAUCCUCACCCAACCCUUUCCCUCUGCUAACCCUUCAAUUAUAUUUUCAUAAAAAAAAAAAUCCUCCUUUUUUUCUUCAACAUUGAUUCUUUGUCUCACAAUUCCAUUUAAAUCCAUCCACCACAUGUUUGGGAAAAUGACCCUCAAAAAAAUAGAUUUUAAGCCUGAAAUUGGUGUUUUCCUUUUCAUGUAUUGGAUUUGCUUUCUUAUAGUAGGAUUAUAAGUUUGUGGGUGAAGGUUUUGUAUUUGUUAGUUUGGUUUAGUGGACUCUUAAUUUUAUUUAUGGCCUUCUUCCAAUUCGGAAUUUUGUUUGUACUCUGAAUCUCUAAAGUGCAAAUAACCAAAUUAAGCAUCUUUAAUGUACCAAUUGGUUUGUGUCUUUUACAGAAAAAUAAAUUUUCUAAUUUUUUUUUAUUUUGCCACAUGCCUAUUAGUGAUUGAGCCACAUCAUCAUUGACUAAGUUGAUUAAUGGUUGACUAACGAAGGACUAACGAGGUACAAACGUAAGAAAAAAUAUGGUUUAGAUACUCAAAUUGAUCAAAAAAGUGUUUAGGUAAUUAUUUAAGCAAAUGAGUAUAUUUUAAAGGACAAUUUUAAUAUUAAGCCUUCAACCUAUAAAUAGAUUUAUUUAUAAUUGAUUUAAUUUAAUAUGAUCUAAUUCAAAUUAAUUGUAAAACACAUUUAAUGACUUAAUUUUUAGUCACAAAUGAUAAACUUCUACAACAUAGUUUUUUAGUUCAAAUUGGUACUUUCAAAUAACUAAGUAUUAAUUUAGAUAAUAAAAAAUCAAAUUCGGGUAUUAAUUUAAAUCAAGAAGCUAAGUUUAGGUACUUAAUUUGACCAAAAUACCAAAUGGAACUUUGAAUUCAUGUUCAAGUACCUAAUUGGAAAAACAAAACCUUAGGUAUCAAUUUGAACUCUGAAGCUAAGUUCAAGUAUCAAAAUAUAUAUUUCCCUUACUUUUCCAAUCAAUAAUAAUUCUAGUGAUUAUGUUGAAAGUAAACCUUAAUUUUUGGUCACCGACAACCACAAUCCUUUUUGCAUUAUUUCUCAAUUUUUAGUUCAUAAACGAUCAAGAAUACCUUUUUUUUAUAGUGAUUAUGUUGUGAUUUCCUAUAAAAUUCUCUUUUUAUUUGCAAGGAAUCUACAACUCUAGUGUGAAUCAGGGACAUUGUCUUUGAUCGCAGGGUGUUCGCCGAAAUGCUUGACACAAGCAUGCCGGCGUGGGAAGCUAUCAGCUCUGAUGAACUUAAAUCCCACCGCCUCUUCCAUAGGCGCCAACAUAUGAAUAACUAUUCCUAAAACGAGGUCAGCCAUGCCAAUUCCAUUAAAAAGAGGCCUAAGCUAAGCUACCAAGCAAAGAGGAAGAAGAAAAGAUGGUUUCAGGGUGAGGCAUGGGCUCCAAAAGGGUAGCGGUGGAUGCAAGGCAUCACAUGCUGGGAAGGUUGGCUUCCAGAUUGGCAUGGUCUCAUCCAGUUUCCUGCUCCUCUAACACCCUCUGGCGUACCAUUCGUGGGUGCGUUUUUCUUUUCGAGAGUUUUUUUUCCCUUUUAGUGUGUUUUCGUAGUUCUUUAUUUGGUCUGUGAAGGAAAAGGAUGGAAAUUUCUGGGCUUUUGAUGCUUGGUAAUUUAGGAAGCCUUUAUUAUAAACUUUUUGAGAGAUUUUUUCUAUUUAUUUGAAGUUCUAUGAUUUGGAUAUUGGAAUAUAUAUUGCAAAAGAACCAAAGGAAUCUGUGUGUUUAGUUAUGUUUGAUAUCAAAAUUAAUAAUGAGAGUUUGCUAUUGAUUUUUCUUAUUAGAGAUCCGUGUGUUUGUUAUAGUUGGUUAUUGGUAAAAUGUAGGGACGAAGUGAAAGAGAGUAGAAUGAGUGUGCUUGAGGUUAUUAUUGUUGGAUUGAGAGAAAACUAAUAGCUGACAAGGUCUAUGAAUCUUAUGGUGCAAAGGCAAUGCGUUUGGCUUCAGCAUAUAUGUAGUGAAGUAUAUAACUGGGCUUCAUUUUGACUUUUCUUAUGGUAAUUGAUAGUUGUUUUGAUUGCAGGAUGAUUCCUCGCAAAGACUAAGGACGGAGUGGCAGCUUUCGCUGGUUUGAAAUUGAAGGCUAAUGAGGGGAUUCCUGCACCAUAUGAUAAGACUAAGAGAAUGGUUAUUCCUGAUGCUCUCAAGUUUUGCAGUAGUUGGUUUCUUUCGCGGAAUUUAGAAUUUGGUUUUCUUACUUGCUUCUGUGGAUAGUUAGUCAUGCUCAAUGUUUUUAUUGUUCUUUCGGUUUUUUUAAAUUAGGGUUUUGAGGUUUCAGAAAGGAGACAAAUUGGUGGAGAAAAUAGCAUUACCCUGGAGUAAAUAUGAAAUAUAACAUUGAACGCUUUUAUGUAGGUUAUCCAACACGCUGAAUGCUUAGGACUUGGUUUGGAGCUUUAGGAACUACUGAUUAAGAAGUUUAUGAAGACAUCAAAAGAGUCAUUUCAUUGGUUUGGCAGUUCUAGGACUUGGUUGUCCUUUACUCAGAGCCAGAGCAGGUAGGUUCUGUUUUUACUCGGCUGUUUGUGAUUGAUGUUUGUUGCACCUUUUCCCCUCUCUUUUUGUAACUGUAUUGUAGCUUUGGGUCAGUGGUUGGGCUAUGAAUUUAUGAAUAUCAAACUGUUGUGUCUGGUCAACAUUGCAGACUCCUCGAAUUGUCUCCUUACCAUCUGAGUCUUACAACCUACCAAGACAACACCGAACCAAACCUUCCGCAUACAGAAGAAAAACAUUCCUUGCAAUAAAAUUAAAACUGAUACAAAAACCACAACAUCCCAAAACACCUCAAAAAGAUAACCACGACGACACUUGCAUACACCACAGCUCAUGACACAAAUCGAAAAAGAGCUCAACUUCAAGACAUCAUCUCAUGUUAUCAAUUUGUGAGCAUCCCUUAGAAACUAAAUAAACACCAUAAAAGACGCAUCCAACAAAUUGGCAGCAAUGCAGUAACAGCAAACCUAUUGCCUCUGUGAGUCUUUAAUUACAACCCCAAAUAUCAUAUACCAAAGCAAGGAGCAACAUCAAAACCUUCAUAAUUAAACACUCUUGAAAAGUUGCCUACACACCCUUUUUACUCAUCCUUAGGUUAAAACAUGUUCUUAUCACCCCUAAACACCACCAGUCCAAAUCAUAUCUUACUCGAGUUGAAAAACCUCCUGGUUGAAGAGAAGACAAUCGAAAUCAUCCUUAACCCACAAACCCUUAUCCAACAUCGAUCAAGAGGACACUGAACAUGAUUCCAUAAUAAGCUUGUUAAAAUCCCUCAAGAAAGGAAAGCUGGAUCAGCAGCAUUCAACAGUGGUCCUCAUCAGUUAUGGCGGUCAAUGAUGAACCUCAGCCCCCUGAGCCUUUCGAGUUCACAUCCUGAUUUCGCUUGGAUUUCAUUUCGAUGAUAGUUUUUAGAGAUGACUUGUGUUCCGUCACAUUCUUUUGUUCAGGAGUUCUCUACUAAUCAGUUACAUUCUUUCUUAUGUGCUUUCUAUUUGUACGGAAAAUCUUGUCAUAUACAUGCUCAACCAUUAGGGAAUUCAAUUUUGUUGCUGAUACGAACUCGGUUGCAUCAUGUUACGACACAACUGGACGGCAUCGGCAUUGGCCCAAACACGAGGGUCCCAAGUGCAAAAUGAAGUGUUAAUUCGAGUUUGUUAAUUUGGUUGCUGGAAAAAAUGAGGAUGACUAUUACUUCUAGAUUUCUUAGCUAUAGUUUAAUUGCUGGAAUAAAAGUUAAUUCGGUUUUAGUUAAUUAGUUAAUUAAUUAGUUAAGUUCCAUAAAUAUGUCAUGGUUUAAACAUCAAUAAUUAGAAUUUAAAUUUGUCAAAAAAUAUGGACAUUUUAAAUGUGUUUUAAGUUCAUUAAUUCUGUCCAAAAUUCAUACUGCUUUAAUAUGAGAUUUAACUUGGUCUUAGUUUAGAACAAAUUAAAUAGGUCUUAAUUUAGACAACUUAAUUGUGACUCACUUCCAGACCAAUUAAUUGUGUCUAACAUUCAGCUUUUAUGUUGCAUUAAACCGAUCUUUAAAUAUGUUUUGUAGGUUGGCUGAAUAGGCUGCCCAUCAACCAAUACAUUGGACGGCAUUAAAGGGACAGCAUGCACCUGGACGUACAUGCACCUAGCACCUGCUGUUUGCUCUCCUCCAAGCAUCUCCUCGUGGAAGCAAUAGCCAAGAGUGUCCCAAUUUGUUUCAUCAGCUGAUUAAUUCGGUUCACACAUAAUUGUCCAGCCAAUUCGAGCCAUUCACACCUAGUUGACCAUUCAUUGCCGGCUUUUCACCUUUGAUGGCUGUCCAUGCGCCACCAACAGUCACAAUUUAAUUAAAGCUUGUUUGGCUGCCCAAGGGAGGUUAAUGCAUGUUCAUUCAACUUAGCUGAUAAGGAACUUGUUAGAUUCAGCUAAUUUUCUAAAUACAUUUAGCUGACCAUUCGAGAACAGCAAAGGUUAAGGAUGUCGGCGUGUCCAAUGAUUGGAUGCAUUCAUUUGCUGACUCAAUUACUCCAGCUCAAGAACCGAAUUUAUCCAGAUGAAUUACUCAGCUAUUUCGUCAGUCCAUGGCUGUUACUCCAGCUCAAGAACCGAAUUUAUCCAGAUGAAUGCUCAGCAAUUAAGUCAGUCCAUGACUGUUCGGGCAUAGCAAGAGCCAGCUGAUCAUUAAGCUAAACAUUGGAUAAUUUCAACUGGAAUUUAAGUUAACAUUUGUGUUUAAUUAAUUGUUAUAAAUUGAGGCUAUUCGGCUGGACCUAUGUGAGCUUAUAAAUAGCUUAUUGUAAACCGUUUAGAAGGUUACUUAACUUUGAAAUUUUAUGAAUAUUAAGCCUUGAGUUAUUCAACUCUUGUAAGAGUUGUUCGUUUGAGACUCGAUUGACUUAUCUAGCUCCGUCUAGUGGCGUCAACCCGAUUCUUGUUUGAACUUAUCACUUCCAGCAAGUGUGGCGUUCAUCCUAUACCGUAGGUUCCUAUCUCUUUAGAUAGUGGGUCUCGGUUUACUAUCUUUUUAUCCAAUUUCAUUUCCAAGUGUUGAUAUAAAAAUUGGGUCGAUAUUCACCUUUAAUAUCGGUCCAUUCUUCAAACUUGUUUUACCCAAACUUAGCAGAAACUAUCACAUAUUAACCUUUACAAAUAUACCAACUUAAAAGCCUUCUUGUUUCAGCCUUCAAAUACGAUACUUCUCAAUUUACGAUCGGAAAACUUAGCAACACGUAAUCAACUCCAAGCACGGGUUCGCAUCAGUUGCCUAAUUUCUUUUCAUUGAUGCUUUGCUCUCAAUUCUUUUCACAUUUUUUUCAAAUCAUAUAUAUAGGUUAAAACUAUGUGGCAUAGCUUUUAAAUCACUAUUUAUUAUGAUAAUAAUAUUUCACAUGUUGAUUAUAUUUAAAAAAAUUAAUUCAAAGUAAAUUCCUUAUAAAUAUUGUCAUGUAAUUUUUGAUGCUCUAAAUGUUGAUAUGCAUGAAUAUAUUAAAUAUACACUAAAAAUAUAAUAUUAAAAUUAAUUAUAAGAAAUAUAAACUAUAAAGCAAAUUGAAGCAAAUAUUUAGUAAAAAUUUGAACUUAAAAUAUAUAUUUAAAACUUAAAACAUAUUAUUAAAGACGCAUUUUAAUAAAGAUUGAUUAAAUUAAAUAUAUUUCAAAUUCUUAAUUAAUUUAAACAAAACUCAAUUAUUAAAAACAAAUUAUUAUCUUUUUCAAACUCUAACAAAUUUAUGGGAAAAUUGAAUGUUCCAUAUUAUUAUCCUUAGAAUGGAAAUGCUGGGGUAUUAUGGGAAAAGAAAUAUUGACAAAUAUGCUCACAAGUCAACGACGAAAAUGAUUCUUCUCUUUUAAGGACAAAAGCAAGACCUAAGAAAGUAUACCACAAAGGGUGGCGUAAAGUGAAGCUAACUCAAGGGUUUUCUUGUAAUGGAUGCGAGUGAGUGUGAGAGUAGGACAGAAGGGGAGACCAUGGAACUUCAACAUUUCAGUCAUCCACAUCCUUUGGUCUCCUUUAAAUAUCAGACUGUUGCACGCGAAGAAGUAGACACAGAAGCAGCUCUUUGCCUUGGGUGUGAGAAACCUGUAGAGGGCUGGAGCUAUGGCUGCAAUCAAUGCGAGUUUUAUCUUCAUAAGGGAUGUGCUGAGUUAGAGUUAGCCCCCAAGAUUCAGCAUCCAUUCCACCCCAAACAUCCUCUCACUCUUCUGCCAAAAUCACCUUAUCCUGGGGGCAUAACCGUGUGCGAUUUGUGUGGUAAGAAUUUUGAGGGAUUUGUUUAUAAUUGUAACGAUUGUAUUUUCUAUCUGCACAUCAAUUGUGCUUUGCUUCAAUCAUCCAUUGCUGCAAAUUUUCCUAAUUCUUUGCACCACCAUCCUUUACACUUCAUUCAAAACCAUAACGAGGAAGUUGAGCGCGAUUGCUCCGGAUGUCAGAAACCAUUAUCUGGUCCGAUUUACCAUUGUUUAGAUUGUUCUUAUCCUACAUUCUUUACUCUUCAUAAGGAAUGCGUUGAACUACCCCUAGAAAUUAAUCACGCCUGUGACCGUAAGCAUCCCCUUACUCUUUUGCCCCAACGACCUGCACAUCCCGAGAAAUGUAGUUGCUAUUUGUGCAAAAUCCAAUGGAGCGGGUUUGUUUAUUCCUGCUCGCUUUGCAACUUUGAGCUUUCAGUUGAUGAUAUUUUUUCACCACCAACAAUCACCAAUGCAAGCCAUGAACACCCGUGGAUGCUUAUAUCCAAAAAAAUGUCAUUUAUUUGUGAUUUUUGUGGCAUUGUCGGAGAUCACUCUCCCUAUCUUUGUGCUACAUGCAACCUUGUUGUCCACAAGAAUUGCAUUUCAUUGCCACGCAACAUCAGGAUAACACGACAUUGUCACGUGAUUUGUUUUUCAUACUCUUUUCAACAAAAUCAAGUUGAAAAUUGUAUGUGCAGAAUUUGUUACACGGAAGUUGAUACAAGUUAUGGUAGGUAUUGUUGUUCUGCUUCCGGUUGUGAUUAUAUUGCUCAUGCACAUUGUGCAACCAAUAAAUCAAUUUGGGAUGGAACAAUUAUCAAGGAAGGCUAUGAUGAGAGGCAUGGACCUUCGAAUUUGAUCACCGAUGUUAUUGAACAAAUAAGUAUUGAAGAGAUUAUGGUAGCAAGUAAGAUCAAACAUUCCUACCAUCAUCAUAAUUUAAGACUCACUCUUAGUGGUGAAAUCAAAGAUGAUAGCCAGUGUGAUGGGUGCAUGAGGCCUAUAUCAAAUCCAUUUUAUAGUUGUGAGCAAUGCAAGUUCUUUCUCCAUAAAAAUUGCGCUGAAUUAUCUAAAGAAAUGCGACAUCCAUUUCACAAGCACUUACUUACACUCACAAACUCAAGCACGCUCGGUGACUUUUCAAGUUGUGAUGCCUGCAGUCAUUUGUACCAGGGAUUUAGCUAUCGGUGCUACAGAAGAGGUUGCAACCUCAACUUUGACAUUCGGUGUAUGUUAAUGUUGGACACCUUGAACCAUCCAAGUCAUGACCAUUCACUCUUACUUGAGCAUAACCAGCAAAGAAAUUGCAGUGCUUGUUCCGGAACAAUGGAACCAUGGAGAGUUGCAUAUAGAUGCAUGAAGCGUUGUGAUUACACUUUAGAUGUAGGUUGUGCAACACUACCACCCACUGCUUGGUACAAGUAUGACAAACAUCCUCUUACUCUGACUUAUUCUGAUGAUUCUGAACCUUCUCAACUUUACUGCGAUCUCUGUGAGAAAGAAAGGCAGCCGAAUAGUUGGUUUUACUAUUGUGUUGAUUGUGAUAACUCUCUUCAUCUCAAUUGUGCUCUUGGGGAUCUCCCAUAUAUGAAGCUUGGGAACAAAAUAAAAGGUACAGGUCAUCAACAUCGACUCACUGUUGUGAAAAACAUCUGGAAUUGUCCUCCAUGUGAGAAAUGUCGUGAGCUUUGCAACGGACGUGCCCUAGAAUGUAAAGAAUUUGGAUGCAACUUUACCAUACACUGGAAUUGUUGUUGGUAUUUGACCUUCUAGGACUCUGGUGAACCAUUUCAAUGAUACUCCACUCAAGUUUACCAGACAGAGAAGUCGCAACUUCACAUGUCUGUUCUGUCCAUCUGCAUGCAUGUACCUGAUUUGCCAACAAGGGCUCAUGUCCGUUUGUUUUUCUUAAUUGCUUUUUAUUAUGUUAUUGUUGUCUAAGAACUUAAACCUUGUUUAAAUCAAACAUGAUUUCAGGCUAGUCAUGAGACUUCUUUUAGGGUAAAUAUACAUUUUGAUGCCUGAAUUUGGCUCUAAGGUUCACAUUGGUACCUGAACUUGACGUCUCGGUUCAAAUUGGCUUUUAAGUCCAAAUUAGUACUAGAGUUAGAUGAGGUAUUUGAACCAAUUUUAACUAUGAAGUCAAGUUUGGUACUAAUUUGAACCAAUAUGACAAGUUCAAAUGCCUAAUUGAACAACAAAAAUUUAAGUACCAAAUUGAACCUUGAGGUUAAGUAUUUAUCAUUUUAAGUUUUUUAAUCAUUUGAAUAAAUGGAAAAAUAGCAAUUUUGGCCCUUUGUGAAAAUUAAUCAUAUAAUUUAAGCUCUUUUAGAGUGAAACUUUUAUCUUCGGUCUCAAAAUUUUAAAAUUUUGGCUUCGUCACUAUAAGAGACUAAAUCACAAGAAAAUGAGCAAAUCCUGAAGGGGCAGGUAGGGGACUGUUCAUAUAAAUGAUGAUAUUAUAAAUUAAUAUAUAGUAAAAUUUUAUUUUAGUCCUUUAAAAUAAAACAAUUCUAUUUAAUCCCUUUAAAUAUGAUAAAUUACAUUUUAACCUUUCAAAAAUUUACAUUUUAAUUUAUAAUUUUUCUAAUUUUUUCAUUUUGCCACAUGUCUAUUGGUGAUUGAGCCACAUCAUCAUUGACCAAGGUUAAUUAACGGCUGACUAACGAAGGACUAACGAGGUACAAAUGUAAGAAAAAAUAUAUAGUUUAGAUACUCAUAUUGAUCAAAAAAGUGUUUAGGUACUAAUUUAAGCAAAUAAGGAUAUUUUAAAGGACAAUUUUAAUAUUAAGCCUUCAGCCUAUAAAUAGAUUUAUUUAUAAUUAAUUUAAUUUAAUAUGAUCUGAUUCAAAUUAAUUGUUAAACACAUUUAAUGACUUAAAUUUUAGUCACAAAUGACAAACUUUUACAGCAUAGUUUUUUAGUUCAAAUUGGUACUUUCAAAUAACUAAGUAUUAAUUUAGAUAAUAAAAAAUCAAAUUCGGGUAUUAAUUUAAAUCAAGAAGCUAAGUUUAGGUACUUAAUUGGACCAAAAUACCAAAUGGAACUUUGAAGUCAUGUUCAAGUACCUAAUUGGAAAAAAGAAAAACCUUAGGUAUCAAUUUGAACUCUGAAGCUAAGUUUAAGUACCAAAAUGUAUAUUUCCCUUACUUUUCCAAUAACCAUUGAAUGCUCUCAUUUUUAUCUACCAGAUCGGAGCAAACACUAAUUAUUGACAGAAAAUAACAAUUCUAGUGAUUAUGUUUAAAGUAAAAUUUAAUUUUAUGUCACCGACAAUCACAAUCCUUUUUGCAUUAUUUCUCAAUUUUUAGUUCAUAAACGAUCAAGAAUACUUUUUUUUUACGGUGAUUAUGUUGAGAUUUCCUAUAAAAUUCUCUUUUUAUUUGCAAGGAAUCUACAACUCUACUGUGAAUCAGGGAAGCAUGCAGGCGUGGGAAGCUAUCAGCUCUGAUAAACUUAAAUCCCACCGCCCCUUCCAUAAGCGCCAACAUAUGAAUAACUAUUCCUUAAACGAGGUCAGCCAUGCCAAUUCCAUUAAAAAGAGGCCUAAGCUAAGCUACCAAGCAAAGAGGAAGAAGAAGAGAUGGUUUCAGGGUGAGGCAUGUGCUCUAAAAGGGUAGCGGUGGAUGCAAGGCAUCACAUGCUGGGAAGGUUGGCUUCCAUAUUAGCCAAGGAGUUGUUGAAUGGCCAAAAAAUAGUGGUGGUGAGAUCUGAAGAGAUAUGCAUGUGGGGUGGAUUGGUUAGCCAGAAGAUGAAUCUCAUGAGGUUUCUUAGGAAGCGUAUAAACACUAAGCCUUCUCAUGGUCUCAUCCAGUUUCCUGCUCCUCUAACAUCCUUUGGCGUACCAUUCGUGGGUGUGUUUUUCUUUUCGAGAGUCUUUUUCCCUUUUAGUGUGUUUUCAUAGUUCUUUAUUUGGUCUGUGAAUGAAAAGGAUGGAAAUUUCUGGGUUUUUUAUGCUUGGUAAUUUAGGAAGCCUUUAUUAUAAACUUUUUGAGAGAUUUUUUUCUAUUUAUUUGAAGUUCUAUGAUUUGGAUAUUGGAAUAUAUAUUGCAAAAGAACCAAUGGAAUCUGUGUGUUUAGCUAUGUUUGAUAUCAAAAUUAAUAAUGAGAGUUUGCUAUUGAUUUUUCUUGUUAGAGAUCUGUGUGUUUGUUAUAGUUGGUUAUUGGUAAAAUGUAGGGACGAAGUGAAAGAGAGUAGAAUGAGUGUGCUUGAGGUUAUUAUUGUUGGAUUGGGAGAAAACUAAUAGCUGACAAGGUCUAUGAAUCUUAUAGUGCAAAGGCAAUGCGUUUGGCUUCAGCAUAUAUGAAGUGAAGUAUAUAACUGGGCUUCAUUUUGACUUUCCUUAUGGUAAUUGAUAUUUGCUUUGAUUGCAGGAUGAUUCCUCGCAAAGACUAAGCAUGGAGUGGCAGCUUUCGCUGGUGUGAAUUGAAGGCUUAUGAGGGGAUUCUUGCACCAUAUGAUAAGACUAAGAGAAUGGUUAUUCCUGAUGCUCUCAAGUUUUGCAGUAGUUGGUUUCUUUCGCGGAAUUUAGAAUUUGGUUUUCUUACUUGCUUCUGUGGAUAGUUAGUCAUGCUCAAUGUUUUUUAAAUUGGUGGAGAAAAUAGCAUUACCCUGGAGUAAAUAUGAAAUAUAACAUUGAACGCUUUUAUGUAGGUUAUCCAACAUUGAAUGCUUAUGACUUGGUUUGGAGCUUCAAGAACUACUGAUGAAGAAGUUUAUGAAGACAUCAAAAGAGUCAUUUCAUUGGUUUGGCAGUUCUAGGACUUGGUUGUCCUUUACUCAGAGCCAGAGCAGGUAGGUUCUGUUUUUACUCGGCUUUUUGUGAUUGAUGUUUGUUGCACCUUUUCCCCCCUCUUUUUGUAACUGUAUUGUAGCUUUGGGUCAGUGGUUGGGCUAUGAAUUUAUGAAUAUCAAACUGUUGUGUCUGGUCAACAUUGCAGACUCCUCGAAUUGUCUCCUUACUGUCUGAGUCUUACAACCUACCAAGACAACACCGAACCAAACCUUCCGCAUACAGAAGAAAAACAUUCCUUGCAAUAAAAUUAAAACUGAUACAAAAACCACAACAUCCCAAAACACCUCAAAAAGAUAACCACAAUGACACUUGCGUACAGCACAGCUCAUGACACAAAUCGAAAAAGAGAUCAACUUCAAGACAUCAUCUCAUGUUAUCAGUUUGUGAGCAUCCCUUAGAAACUAAAUAAACACCAUAAAAGAAGCAUCCAACAAAUUGGCAGCAAUGCAGUAACAAACCUAUUGCCUCCGUGAGUCUUUAAUUACAACCCCAAAUAUCAUAUACCAAAACAAGGAGCAAUGUAAUAGCCCGAUUCUGGGCCUAGUCGGAAUAGUGGUUUCGAGACCACAAAUCCGACGAGGGAAAAUAUGGUUAUUAUAAUAUUUUUAUGGUCUACAAUUUCACGGAAAAUUUUCGUAAAAAUUUCGUUCGAAAAUUUCGACGUUUGGGCACUCAAUUUAGUCAAAAGGACUAAAUUGUAAAAAGUGCAAAAGUUGAGUUCUAUAUGUAGAAGUGUCUAAUUGAUAUGAAAUUAUAAGUUGGGCAUCCUUAUGUGGUAAUUAGACCAUUAGUAAUUGAUGGACAAAAUAGACAUAAGAAAUGAGAGAAAUAGAUUUUUUUAAGUGGGGGCAUUUUAGUCAUUUGGUUAUAAAAAGAAUAAAAUGGGAAAAAGAUGACAAAAAUCAUCAUCUUCUCCAUAAGUUGCUGCCGAAUUUUAAGGGACACCAUAGCUAAGGUUUCUUUGCUUUCUCAAGGUCAUAGUAAGUGUAUCAUAGCCCCGUUUUUAAUGUUCUUUGCAUUUUUGAAAUCCUCGUAGCUCGGUUUAGCUUAUUUUACUGUUAAUUCAUGUUAGGGUUUAUAUUUGGAAAAAUACCCAUAGGUGAAAAGUGUUUAUUCUGCUGUUUUAUGGUGGAAUAUGAAGCUAGAAAUUAUGUUAAACAACUUUUGCUAAGCGAUUUUAAACGAAAACGGGUAAAUUGACAUAAUCGGUAAAACUAGUUAAUGUUCAAAAGUAUGUGUUAGAGUGAGAAUUUGAUGUUGCCAUAGAAGGGAAAAAUAUUAAGCAUGUCAUAAGACAUAAGAAUAAGUGAUGAAAUUUAACUUCCGAGCUUGGGAACAAAAAUGUAAUUAUGCAAAAGUUUGGGGGCAAAAUUGUAAUUUUUCAAAAAGUUGGGUGGAGGAUUAUUUUAAUAAAUGUGAACCUUAAAUAAGUUAAAUUUGCUAUUAUAGAUCAAGAAAGACGAGAGGACUACCUCAAACGAGGAAAAGAAAAGAUAGUGGAAUAAAUUGCAAAAUUACGAUAUUUUGCACCGAGGUAAGUAAACACGUGACUUAAUGUAUUAUUUUGGUAUUAUUUGAUAUGUGUUGAGAUUUAUUUGAAUAUAAAAUAAAUGUUUGGCAAGAUUCCAAAAAUGUUGUUAAUUUGGGAAAGGUGGUAAGGAGUUGCAAAACACGGUUUUUGGUUGAACACUCGGAAUAGGCCGGAGCAUAUUGCAUAUAAAGGGGUUGCUGUGUGCUGAUUCCCCUAUUCAUUGGUGGUUGCUAAGUGCUGAUUCCACCGUAUUUUAAAUGUGGAAGGGGGUUGCUAAGUGCUGAUUCCCCCGAGGGGUUGCUAAGUGCUGAUUCCCCUACCUAUUGGUGGUUGCUAAGUGCUGAUUCCACCGUAUUUUAAAUGUGAAAGGGGGUUGCUAAGUGCUGAUUCCCCUGAGGGGUUGCUAAGUGCUGAUUCCCCUACCUAUUUGGUGGUUGCUAAGUGCUGAUUCCACCGCAUCUGAAAUGUGAAGGGGGUUGCUAAGUGCUGAUUCCCCCAAGGGGUUGCUGUGUGCUGAUUCCCCGAUUCAUUGGUGGUGCUAAGUGCGGAAUCCACCAACAACGGUUAACAUUCCGAGUGUUCAACGAGUAAAUUGAGAAGGUGAAUAUUCAUAUAUGUGGUGGACGAGUUUAUGGGAGGAAUAUCGGGUUUGAUACUUAAUCAACCCAUGUAUAAGAUGGGAGGAAAAAUCAAAAAUACAAAAGAAACAAUUUGAAUGCAAAACUGUUUUGAAUGGCAGCAGUUGGGCAACUUUGAAAAAUCACCAUAAAUGGUGAAAAAUGAAUUGGAGGUUGAAUAAAACAUGAAAUUGAAGCUGAAUGAGUCUAUUUUCAUAAGAAAUAAGUGGGGAAAGCAAAGGAAUUAUAUAUUUGAGGAUAUUUAAAUUUUACUGAGACAGGGUUGGAUUGAAUUCGAAAUCCCCUGUUCCAACUUUGGAAAAUCACCAAAGAUUCUAAAAAAAUAAUUAUGGCUUGAAAUUUAUAUUUCUGGAUUCCUUUUUGAGUCUAUUUUUAAUAGAAACAAACGAGAACAUUUUUUGAAACUUGUAUAGAGAGUUAUGUGAAUUUUUGUAAGGGGAGGUCAGGACUGUCGGGUAGUGAAACAGGGGAAACUUUAAUGAAUAAACUGUACUAAUUGGCCAACCAAAAAUUCCGAAAAUUUUAUGGUGGAAAUAUAUAUGAAUCUAGUUUCAGGGAAAAUUUACGGAAUCUGAUUUGGAGCCCUGUAGCUCCCGAUAAAAAUAAAUUAGUGACCAUGACGCAGAAAUACUGCUUGCUGGAAUUUGACCAAAUAAUGAAAUUUAUUUGUGAUAAAAGUUAUAUUUUGGUGUAAUCAUGUGGGAAAUUUAUCUACUUGUCAUAUGUUUACUUACUAAGCUAUAUGCUUACUUGCUUUUAUUUUUCCCUUGAUUAUAGUGAUAUCCAUCAACUUGGAAUUGGGACGGAGUCGGACAAUCAUCCACACUAUCAUCCGCGUUUGGGUAUUUUGCUACUGGUAUUCCGGAAAUUAUGGCAUGUAUAGACGACUUUAUGUAAUGUGGCGUCACUGUAUAUAUAUAUGUUAUGGUUCGAGCUAAAAUGUGGCGUUUAUAAAUAGUUAAAUUGUGUAUCUUUAUACAACUGUUUUGAUUGGAAAUUUGAAUUGUGGUUGGAAAUUGCAGGAGGUUUAAGCAAAAACAAGCAGAAAUGCUGUCGAAAUUUUUUUAAAAAAAAUUUAGUAAUACCUCGUACUCUGUUCCGGUAAGGAAUACGAGUAAAGGGUGUUACAUUUUAGUGGUAUCAGAGCUACGGUUUAGUCGGUUCUCGGGCCAAUAAAAUAUGUGUGAAAGUCAGUCUAUACAUGCCAUAAAUAUAUUGUGAUAGUGUGAUGAUUUCUGACAAUUUAAAAUUUUGUUUUAUAUAGUAAAUGGAUCCUGAGCGAAGUGUGACAGAUGAUGUUGAAAGUAACGCGCCGGCUCCCGGACAAGGGACCGCGCAUGAAGAGAGUAGACAUGAGACACAUGGACAGGAUGAGGCUCGGGAAGCCUUCCUCCGGAUGAUGAGUAUUGGUAUACAGAAUAUGUCCGUGUAAAUCCGAAUGUUCCACCUCCUCCACCCCCUCCUAUUCCUCAACCGGUCCCCGUAGCUCCACGAAGUGCUGAAUUGGUGAGAUCAAGUAAACCACCCGUUGACAGAAUUCGAAAGCAUGGGGCUGAAGAUUUCUGGGCUAAUGUUGAUGAUGAUUCGGAAAAAGUCGAGUUUUGGCUUGAAAAUACUAUCCGGGUAUUUGAUGAAUUAUCUUGUACUCCCGAGGAAUGUUUGAAAUGUGCUGUGUCUUUAUUAGAGGUGCUCAUGAGCCGAGCCGGGCCGGGUUCGAGCUAGGCCCAUAAAAAAAUUUCGGCCCGGAUCCUAGGCCGGGCCCGGCCCGGCCCGAAAUAUGGGCCUAAGAUUUUGCCCAGGCCCGGCCCGGGAAAAAAAUCAUAAGCCCGGGCCCGGCCCGGCCCGGCCCAUUUUUAUUUUAAAAAUUUUUAAAAAUUAAAAAAAGUAUUUUAAAAAUAUUUUAAAAUUAAAAAAAUUAAAAAAAGUAUUUUAAAAUUAAAAAAAUUAAAAAAAGUAUUUUAAAAAUAUUUUAAAAUUUAAAAAAAUUAAAAAAGUAUGUAAAAAAUAUUUUAAAAUUAAAAAAAUAAAUAUAUUUAUUAUAUCGGCCCGGCCCGGGCCGAAAAAGUGGUGCCCGAGGCCUGGCUCGUUUUCUAAACGGGCCUCGUUUUUUUGCCCAAGCCCAUAUUUCAGGCCUAUAUUUUUACCCAAACCCUCCCAUAUUUCGGGCGGGCCAUCGGGCCGGGCCGGGCCGCCCGGCCCAUGAGCACCUCUAGUCUUUAUUGAAGGAUUCGGCAUACCGUUGGUGGAAAACAUUAAUAACGGUGGUUCCAAAAGAAAGAGUUACUUGGGACUUCUUUCAGGAAGAAUUCAGAAAGAAAUAUGUAAGCCAACGGUUUAUUGAUCAGAAGCGCAAAGAGUUUCUCGGAUUGAAACAGGGCCGAAUGUCAGUAGCAGAAUAUGAAUUGGAGUUUGUCCGGCUUAGUAAAUAUGCCCAGGAAUGUGUGCCUACGGAGGCUAUUAUGUGUAAAAGAUUUGAAGAGGGGCUAAAUGAAGACAUCAGAUUGCAUGUUGGAAUUUUAGAGUUAAAAGAAUUUGUGGUAUUAGUUGAUUGUGCCUGCAAAGCUGAAGAGCUGAGUAGAGAAAAGAGAAGGGCAGAGAUGGAAGCUCGAGAUGUAAGGAAGAGGUCAAUGGGCAGAACAUUUCAAUCUCACCCGAAGAAGUUUAAAGGGAUGGAUCCACGACCAACUGGUUCAGUUGGGUAUUCACGUAGAGACCGAGGGAGGUCAUAUUCUGGAACUACAACUCGAGCUACCUCAGUGGCAAGUGUGGGUAAUGUAGGAAACACCAGACCUGAAUGUCAACAGUGUGGCAGGCGACAUACUGGUGAGUGUUGGGGAUUUAAAUGAGCUUGUUUCAGAUGUGGUUCCCAAGAGCAUUAUGUAAAAGACUGCCCUGAGAGAAUAGAAGAAGAAAAAUUACAAAGAGCUGGAUCGGGUGAUGUUGUCAGUAGAGGCAGACCACCGAGAAAUGUGGGAAGCAAAGCCAGUGGUAAGAGUGUGAUAAAAGAUGCAGCUGGAGGAUCAGAAACUAGAGCGCCUGCUAGGACUUAUGCCAUACGCGCUCGAGAGGAUGCCUCAUCUCCCGAUGUGAUUACUGGUACAUUUUCUCUUCAUGAUAUUGAUGUUAUUGCUUUGAUUGACCCGGCUCUACUCAUUCGUAUGUAUGCAUGAAUUUGGUAUCUAGUAAGAAAUUUCCUGUUGAAAACACUGAAUUUGUAGUUAAAGUAUCAAAUCCUUUAGGCAAAUGUGUCUUAGUCGAUAAGGUUUGCAAGAAUUGUCCCCUGAUGAUUCAAGGUCACUGUUUCCCGGCUAAUUUGAUGUUGUUACCAUUUGAUGAGUUUGAUAUUAUUUUGGGGAUAGAUUGGUUGAUAUUGCAUGAUGCCAAGGUAAAUUGUAGACAGAAAAUUCUUGAAUUAAAUUGUGAAAACGGUGAAAUUCUCCGGGUUGAAACAAAGGAGCUGAAUAAGUUGCCUAUGGUGAUCUCGCACAUGUCUGCUCAGAAAUACUUGAGAAAGGGAUGUGAAGUUUAUCUUGCUUAUGUGCUGAACACGGAUAUUACUGGGUCGAAGCUUGAAUCAGUGCCGGUAGUUUGUGAAUUUCCAGAUGUAUUUCCAGAGGAAUUGCCUGGGUUACCUCCGAUUAGAGAAGUUGAGUUUUCUAUUGAUCUGUUACCUGGUACUGCACCGAUUUCUAUUGCACCGUAUCGAAUGGCUCCGACUGAGUUGAAGGAAUUGAAAGCUCAGUUACAAGAGUUGACAGAUAAAGGAUUUGUGAGACCGAGUUUUUCUCCUUGGGGUGCUCCUGUGUUAUUUGUGAAAAAGAAGGACGGCUCUAUGAGACUUUGUAUUGACUAUCGUCAGCUCAACAAGGUGACUAUAAAGAACAAGUAUCCUUUGCCGAGAAUUGAUGAUUUAUUUGAUCAAUUAAAAGGGGCAACAGUGUUCUCUAAGAUCGAUUUGAGGUCUGGUUACUAUCAGUUAAGAGUUAAAGAGUCUGAUGUGCCGAAAACCGCCUUUAGAACAAGGUAUGGACACUAUGAAUUUCUGGUAAUGCCUUUUGGGUUAACAAAUGCUCCGGCUAUUUUUAUGGACUUGAUGAACUGAAUUUUUCGGCCGUACUUGGAUAAGUUCGUGGUGGUGUUCAUAGAUGAUAUUUUAAUCUAUUCUCGGGAUAAAUCUGAGCAUGCAGAACAUUUGAGAACUGUGUUGCAGAUUCUGAGAGAAAAGAAAUUGUAUGCUAAAUUCAGCAAAAGUGAGUUUUGGCUUCGUGAGGUUGGAUUCUUGGGACAUAUAGUUUCAAGUGAAGGUAUUCGGGUUGAUCCAAGCAAAAUUUCAGCAAUUGUUGAUUGGGAGCCACCAAAGAAUGUGACAGAAGUUAGAAGCUUUCUGGGCUUAGCUGGGUAUUACAGACGCUUUGUCAAGGGAUUUUCGAUGAUUGCUUCUCCUAUGACAAAGUUACUGCAGAAGAAUGUCAAGUUUGAAUGGACCGAUAAAUGUCAACAAAGUUUUGAAAAGUUGAAGGCAUUAUUGACUGAGGCGCCAGUGUUGGUGCAACCUGAGUCCGGGAAGGAGUUUGUAAUUUACAGUGAUGCAUCGUUGAAUGAUCUUGGGUGUGUGUUAAUGCAAGAGGGUAAAGUAAUAGCUUAUGCUUCGAGACAGUUGAAACCACAUGAGAAGAAUUAUCCGACGCAUGAUUUAGAAUUGGCUGCUAUUGUUUUUGCUUUAAAAAUUUGGCGUCAUUAUUUGUAUGGUGAAAAGUGCCGAAUCUUCACUGAUCAUAAGAGUUUGAAGUAUUUGAUGAGCCAAAAAGACUUGAAUUUGCGGCAACGAAGAUGGCUCGAGCUAAUUAAAGACUAUGAGCUAGUGAUUGAUUAUCACCCCGGGAAAGCUAAUGUGGUUGCUGAUGCCUUGAGCAGAAAAUCUUUAUUUACUUUGAGAGCUAUGAGUACGAGAUUAACUUUAUCUGAUGAUGGUUCAAUUUUGGCUGAAUUGAGAGUUAGACGUUAUUUCUUCAGCAGAUGCGGGAAGCUUAAAAGAAUGACAAUAAAUUGCAAGUCAGAAGAGCUCAGUGUGAAACAGGCUUUAAUUCAGAUUUUCAAAUUGGUUCAGAUGACUGCCUGAUGUUCCGAGAUAGAAUAUGUGUACCGAGAAAUGAUGAGCUAAUUCGGACCAUUUUAUGUGAGGCACACAAUGGUUGUUUAUCAGUCCAUCCAGGUAGUGUGAAAAUGUAUAAUGAUUUGAAGAAGUUGUACUGGUGGCCGGGCAUGAAAAAGGAUAUCUCGGAAUUUGUAUCGAAUUGUUUAAUUUGUCAACAAGUGAAAGCUGAGCAUCAAGUACCAUCGGGUUUACUUCAGCCGAUAACGAUUCCAGAGUGGAAGUGGGACAGUAUUACGAUGGAUUUUGUGACAGGAUUGCCUUUAACUCCAAAGAAGAAAGAUGCUAUUUGGGUAAUUGUUGAUAGAUUGACAAAGUCAGCCCAUUUUAUUCCGAUACGCAUUGAUUACUCACUUGACAGGUUGGCGGAAUUAUAUGUUGCUGAAAUAGUGAGAUUACACGGGGUGCCUAAAUCUAUUAUAUCGGAUAGAGAUCCGAGAUUUACUUCGAGGUUUUGGAUAAAGUUGUAGGAAGCCUUGGGUACGAAAUUGAAUUUUAGUACUGCGUUUCAUCCGUAAACUGACGGGCAAUCAGAAAGAGUGAUUCAAGUUCUUGAAGACAUGCUCCGAUGUUGUAUUUUAGAAUUGGAAGGCAGUUGGGAGAAAUAUCUACCAUUGGUUGAAUUUGCUUAUAACAAUAGCUAUCAGUCAAGUAUACGAAUGACACCGUAUGAAGCAUUAUAUGGGCGUAAGUGUAGAACUCCUUUAUAUUGGACUGAGCUCGGUGAGAACCAGAUUCAUGGAGUUGACUUGGUGAAAGAAACUGAAGAAAAGGUGAAAAUAAUUCGUGACUGUUUAAAGGCUGCUUCAGAUCGGCAAAAGUCGUAUGCAGAUUUAAAGAGGAAAGAAAUUGAGUUUCAAGUGGGUGAUAAAGUAUUCUUGAAAGUAUCUCCAUGGAAAAAGAUUCUGAGAUUUGGUCGUAAAGGCAAAUUGAGUCCACGUUUUAUUGGACCAUAUGAAGUUAUUGAAAGAGUUGACCCUGUAGCUUAUCGGUUAGCUUUACCGCCGGAGUUGAAAAAAUACAUAAUGUAUUUCAUGUGUCGAUGUUGCGACGUUAUCGUUCGGAUCCUUCACAUAUAGUUUCUCCUACAGAGAUUGAGGUUCGACCAUAUAUGACUUAUGAGGAGGAACCGAUAAAAAUUCUGGCUCGGGAGGUCAAACAGUUAAGGAAUAAAAGUGUAGCCUUAGUGAAAGUGUUGUGGCAGAAACAUGGAAUGGAAGAGGCUACGUGGGAACCGGAGGAAAUUAUGAGGAAACAGUACCCAAACCUCUUUUCCGGUAAGAUUUUCGGGGACGAAAAUCCCUAAGGGGGGAGAGUUGUAACAGCCCGAUUCUAGGCCUAGUCGGAAUAGUGGUUUCGAGACCACAAAUCCGACGAGGGAAAAUAUGGUUAUUAUUAUAUUUUUAUGGUCUACAAUUUCACGGAAAAUUUUCGUAAAAAUUUCGUUCGAAAAUUUUGACGUUUGGGCACUCAAUUUAGUCAAAAGGACUAAAUUUUAAAAAGUGCAAAAGUUGAGUUCUAUAUGUAGAAGUGUCUAAUUGAUAUGAAAUUAUAAGUUGCGGGUCCUUAUGUGGUAAUUAGACCCUUAGUAAUUGAUGGACAAAAUAGACCUAAGAAAUGAGAGAAAUAGAUUUUUUUUAAGUGGGGGCAUUUUAGUCAUUUGGUUAUAAAAAGAAUAAAAUGGGAAAAAGAUGACAAAAAUCAUCAUCUUCUCCAUAAGUUGCUGCUGAAUUUUAAGGGACACCAUAGCUAAGGUUUCUUUGCUUUCUCAAGCUCAUAGUAAGUGCAUCCUAGCCCCGUUUUUAAUGUUCUUUGCAUUUUUGAAAUCCUCGUAGCUCGGUUUAGCUUAUUUUACUGUUAAUUCAUGUUAGGGUUUAUAUUUGGAAAAAUACCCAUAGGUGAAAAGUGUUUAUUUUGCUGUUUUAUGGUGGAAUAUGAAGCUAGAAAUUAUGUUAAACAACUUUUGCUAAGCGAUUUUAAACGAAAACGAGUAAAUUGACAUAAUCGGUAAAAAUAGUUAAUGUUCAAAAGUAUGUGUUAGAGUGAGAAUUUGAUGUUGCCAUAGAAGGGAAAAAUAUUCAGCAUGUCAUAAGACAUAAGAAUAAGUGAUGAAAUUUAAUUUCCGAGCUUGGGGACAAAAAUGUAAUUAUGCAAAAGUUUGGGGGCAAAAUUGUAAUUUUUCAAAACUUUGGGUGGAGGAUUAUUUUAAUAAAUGUGAACCUUAAAUAAGUUAAAUUUGUUAUUAUAGAUCAAGAAAGACGAGAGGACUACCUCAAACGAGGAAAAGAAAAGAAGUGGAAUAAAUUGCAAAAUUACGAUAUUUUGCACCGAGGUAAGUAAACACGUGACUUAAUGUAUUAUUUUGGUAUUAUUUGAUUGAGAUUUAUUUGAAUAUAAAAUAAAUGUUUGGCAAGAUUCCAAAAAUGUCGUUAAAUUGGGAAAGGUGGUAAGGAGUUGCAAAACACGGUUUUUGGUUGAACACUCGGAAUAGGCCGAGCAUAUUGCAUAUAAAGGGGUUGUUGUGUGCUGAUUCCCCUAUUCAUUGGUGGUUGCUAAGUGCUGAUUCCACCGUAUUUUAAAUGUGGAAGGGGGUUGCUAAGUGCUGAUUCCCCCGAGGGGUUGCUAAGUGCUGAUUCCCCUACCUAUUGGUGGUUGCUAAGUGCUGAUUCCACCGUAUUUUAAAUGUGAAAGGGGGUUGCUAAGUGCUGAUUCCCCUGAGGGGUUGCUAAGUGCUGAUUCCCCUACCUAUUUGGUGGUUGCUAAGUGCUGAUUCCACCGCAUCUGAAAUGUGAAGGGGGUUGCUAAGUGCUGAUUCCCCCAAGGGGUUGCUGUGUGCUGAUUCCCCGAUUCAUUGGUGGUGCUAAGUGCGGAAUCCACCAACAACGGUUAACAUUCCGAGUGUUCAACGAGUAAAUUGAGAAGGUGAAUAUUCAUAUAUGUGGUGGACGAGUUUAUGGGAGGAAUAUCGGGUUUGAUACUUAAUCAACCCAUGUAUAAGAUGGGAGGAAAAAUCAAAAAUACAAAAGAAACAAUUUGAAUGCAAAACUGUUUUGAAUGGCAGCAGUUGGGCAACUUUGAAAAAUCACCAUAAAUGGUGAAAAAUGAAUUGGAGGUUGAAUAAAACAUGAAAUUGAAGCUGAAUGAGUCUAUUUUCAUAUGAAAGAAGUGGGGAAAGCAAAGGAAUUAUAUAUUUGGGGAUAUUUAAAUUUUACUGAGACAGGGUUGGAUUGAAUUCGAAAUCCCCUGUUCCAACUUUGGAAAAUCACCAAAGAUUCUAAAAAAAUAAUUAUGGCUUGAAAUUUAUAUGUCUGGAUUCCUUUUUGAGUCUAUUUUUAAUAUAAACAAACGAGAACAUUGUUUGAAACUUGUAUAGAGAGUUAUGUGAAUUUUUGUAAGGGGAGGUCAGGACUGUCGGGUAGUGAAACAGGGGAAACUUUAAUGAAUAAACUGUACUAAUUGGCCCAACCAAAAAUUCUGAAAAUUUUAUGGUGGAAAUAUAUAUGAAACUAGUUUCAGGGAAAAUUUACGGAAUCUGAUUUGGAGCCCUGUAGCUCCCGAUAAAAAUAAAUUAGUGACCAUGACGCAGAAAUACUGCUUGCUGGAAUUUGACCAAAUAAUGAAAUUUAUUUGUGAUAAAAGUUAUAUUUUGGUGUAAUCAUGUGGGAAAUUUAUCUACUUGUCAUAUGUUUACUUACUAAGCUAUAUGCUUACUUGCUUUUAUUUUUCCCUUGAUUAUAGUGAUAUCCAUCAACUUGGAAUUGGGACGGAGUCGGACAAUCAUCCACACUAUCAUCCGUGUUUGGGUAUUUUGCUACUGGUAUUCCAGAAAUUAUGGCAUGUAUAGACGACUUUAUGUAAUAUGGCGUCACUGUAUAUAUAUAUGUUAUGGUUCGAUCUAAAAUGUGGCGUUUAUAAAUAGUUAAAUUGUGUAUCUUUAUACAACUGUUUUGGUUGGAAAUUUGAAUUGUGGUUGGAAAUUGCAGGAGGUUUAAGCAAAAACAAGCAGAAAUGCUGUUGAAAUUUUUUUAAAAAAAAUUUAGUAAUACCUCGUACUCUGUUUCGGUAAGGAAUAAGAGUAAGGGGUGUUACAAGCAACAUCAAAACCUUCAUAAUUAAACACUCUUGAAAAGUUGCCUACACACCCUCUUUACUCAUCCUUAGGUUAAAACAUGUUCUUAUCACCCCUAAACACCACCAGUCAAAAUCAUAUCUUACUCGAGUUGAAAAAACCUCCUAGUUGAAGAGAAGACAAUCGAAAUCAUCCUUAACCCACCAACCCUUACCCAACAUGGAUCAAGAGGACACUGGACAUGAUUCCAUAAUAAGCUUGUUAAAAUCCCUCAAGAAAGGAAAGCUGGAUCGGCAGCAUUCAACAGUGUUCCUCAUCAGUUAUGGCCGUCGAUGAUGAACCCCAGCCCCCUCAGCCUUUCGAGUUCACAUCCUGAUUUCGCUUGGAUUUCGUUUCGAUGAUAGUUUUUAGAGACAACUUGUGUUUCAUCACAUUCUUUAGUUCAGGAGUUCUCUACUAAUCAGUUACAUUCUUUCUAUUUGUACGGACAAUCUUGUCAUAUACAUGCUCAACCAUUAGGGAAUUCGAUUUUGUUGCCUAAUUUCUUUUUGUUGAUGCUUUGCUCUCAAUUCUUUUCACAUUUUUUCAAAUCAUAGAUAUAGGUUACAACUACGUGGCAUAGCUUUUAAAUCAUUAUUUGUCACGAUAAUAAUAUUUCACAUGUUGAUUAUUUUUAAAAAAAUUAAUUCAAGGUAAAUUCCUUAUAAAUAUUUUCAUGUAAUUGUUGAUGCUCUAAAUGUUGAUAUGCAUGAAUAUAUUAAAUAUACACUAAAAAUAUAAAAUUAAACUUAAUUAUAAGAAAUAUAAACUAUAAAGCAAAUUGAAGCAUUUUAAUAAAGAUUGAUUAAAGUAAAUAUAUUUCAAAAUCUUAAUUAAUUUAAACAAAACUCAAUUAUAAGAAAAAAAAUAUUAAUUUCUUUUUCAAACUCUAACAAAUUUAUGGGAAAAUUGAAUGUUCCAUAUUCUUAUCCUUGGAAUGGAAAUGCUGGGAUAUUAUGGGAAAAGAAAUAUUGACAAAUAGUCGCACAAGCCAACGACGAAAUUGAUUCUUCUCUUUAACGACAAAAGCAAAGACCUAAGAAAGUAUACCACAAAGAGUGGAGUAAAGUGAAGCAAACUCGAGGGUUUUCUUGUAAUGGAUGUGAGUGAGUGUGAGAGUAGGACAGAGGGGGAGACCAUGGAACUUCAACAUUUCAGUCAUCCACAUCCUUUGGUCUCCUUCAAAUAUCAGACUGUUGCACGCGAAGAAGUAGACCCGGAAGCAGCUCUGGCUGCAAUCAAUGUGAGUUUUAUCUUCAUAAGGGAUGUGCUGAGUUAGAGUUAGCCCCCAAGAUUCAGAAUCCCUUCCACCCCAAACACCCUCUCACUCUUUUGCCAAAUUCACCUCAGUCUAGGUCAGGAUUUUGCGAUUUGUGUGGUAAGAAUUAUGGGGGAUUUGUUUAUUAUUGUAAUGAUUGUAAUUUCGAUCUGCACAUCAAUUGUGCUUUGCUUCAAUCAUCCAUUGCUGCAAAUUUUCCUAAUUCUUUGCACCCCCAUUCUUUACAUUUCAUUCAAAACUAUAACAAGGAAGUUGAGCCUGAUUGCCCCGGGUGUCAAAAACCAAUAUCUGGUCCACUUUACCACUGUUCAGAUUGCACUUAUCCUACAUUCUUUAACCUUCAUAAGGAAUGUGCUGAACUACCCCUUGAGAUUAAUCACCCCUGUGACCGUAAGCAUCCUCUUACUCUCUUGCCACAACCGCCAACUCAUCCCCAGAAAUGUAGUUGCUAUUUGUGCAGAAUCCAAUGGAAGGGGUUUGUUUAUUCCUGCUCUCUAUGCAACUUUGAUCUUUCACUUGAUGAUUUUCUUUUUUCACCACCAACAAUCACAGUUGCAAGUCAUGAACAUCCGUGGAUGCUUGUAUCUAGAAAAAUGUCGUUUGUUUGUGAUUGUUGUGGCACUGACGGCUAUCACUCCCCCUAUUUCUGUGCUACAUGUCACCUCCUUGUCCACAAGAAUUGCAUUUCAUUGCCACGCAACAUCAGGAUAACACGACAUUGUCACGUGAUUUGUUUUUCAUAUUCUUUUCAACAAAAUCAAGUUGAAGAUUGUAUGUGCAGAAUUUGUUACACGGAAGUUGAUACAAGUUAUGGUAGGUAUUGUUGUUCUGCUUCUGGUUGUGAUUAUAUUGCUCAUGCACAUUGUGCAACCAAUAAAUCAAUUUGGGAUGGAACAAUUAUCAAGGAAGGCUAUGAUGAGAGGCAUGGACCUUCGAAUUUGAUCACUGAUGUUAUUGAACAAAUAAGUAUUGAAGAAAUUAUGGUAGCAAGUGAGAUCAAGCAUUCCUAUCAUGAUCAUAAUUUAAGACUCACUUUUAGUGGGAAGACCAAAGAUGAUGACAGUCAGUGCGAUGGGUGCACGAGACCUUUAUCAACUCCUUUUUAUAGUUGUGAGCAAUGCAAGUUCUUUCUCCACAAAGAUUGCGCUGAAUUGCCUAAAGAAAUGCCACACCCCUUUCACAAGCAUUUGCUUACUCUCGUGAACUCACACGAUUGGGGUGGUUAUUCAGUGUGCGAUGCUUGCGGUCGUCUAUAUCAAGGAUUUAGGUACAGAUGCUACAAAGGAGAUUGCUACUUCGAAAUUGACAUUCAAUGUAUGUUAUUGUCGGACACCUUGAAGCACCCAAGUCAUGAGCAUUCACUCUUUCUUGUCCACAACAACGAGGGAACGAGUUGCAGUGCUUGUUUCAGAAAACUACACUUAAGGGAUGUUGCAUAUAGAUGCAUGAAGCGGUGUGAUUUCAGUUUAGAUGUAGGUUGUGCAACACUACCACUCUCUGCUUGGUAUAAGUAUGACAGGCAUGCUCUUACAGUUUUUUUGAUGAUUCUGAGCCUUCUCAACUUUAUUGCGAUCUCUGCGAAAAAGAAAGAGAGCCAAAUAAUUGGUUUUACUACUGUGCUGAUUGUGAUAACUCUCUUCAUCUCAAUUGUGUUAUCGGGGAUCUCCAAUAUUUGAAGCUUGGGAACAAAUUGAAGCAUUAUAGGCAUAAACAUCCAUUCACUAUUGUAAAAAACAUCUGGAAUUGCCCUCCAUGUAAGGCAUGUGGUGAGAUUUGCAAUGGACAGGCCCUAGAAUGUAAAGAAUCUGAAUGCAACUUUAUCGUCCAUUGGGAUUGCUGUCGGGUUCUCCAGAGAACCAUUUGAAUGAUAUUCCACUCAAGUUUAAGAAACAGAGAAGGCAGAGAGAUGUGUUGUGUUCUGCGGAAAGGUGUAGCAGAUUUGGUAAAAAUGGGUGAUGGCCUUACUUCUUGUGUUCUGCAUUAUGUUAUGUUUAUGAUAGUUGUUUGAGCAGUAGAAGAUUGUGUUAGAUGAAACAUGAUUUGUAACCACACAUCUGUAUCUUUC